RNAcentral lists this long non-coding RNA (50048 nucleotides) under Durio zibethinus. Its description in RNAcentral is "long non-coding RNA (DZIB_LNC001624)". Lineage: Eukaryota; Viridiplantae; Streptophyta; Magnoliopsida; Malvales; Malvaceae. The record is from RNAcentral.
AUGACUAGAAUGAUAAAAUAAUGUAUAAAACCUUUUUAAGUUUGUUAUGAUGUUAACCCAAUUUGCCAAUUGAAGAGAAAAUUGAAAGAGCUGAGUUAAGUGUUGACCAUUUUGUGAAGUUCAUAUGGUAAAAACAAUGUAGAUAAGUAAUUAGCAGUAAAAAACUUACCUGGUAGGGAUGGGAUACUCAGGCAAGAACUUGGCUAGGAUCUCUACCACCUCUCCACGGUGGAGAACGCUCUCGGCGCAGAGGUAUCGGCCUGACGCAGAGGGAUUCUCAAAGACAAGAAUGUGCGCUAAGGGCAACAUCUUGAACAUGAACAUAGGCUUGAACUGAAUUGGCAUAGGAGUCUUUGCUGAGCCGGGGUUAAGUACGUUGAGGAUGGUGAACAAUGCUAGCAGGUUUACAAGUUGAUUGGCGCAAUGGACCUAAAACCGAAAACUGGGGCUUCACCACAAGGUCCACCCCUUUUCCUUGGCUGUUUUCCCAGGCUGGCCUGCUCUGCCACAGCCUUCCCGUAACAAUACCAAUCUGCCAAUUUUGUUAGUGAGAAUGUGCCAAUCAUUGAAUCCAUGUUUUAUUGUAUUUUCAAAAUUCUAGGUACUAAACGGCUAUUAUUCGUUUCAAAAAUUUCAUAGCUCUAAUAACUAAAGACCAAAAUAAAACAUACAAGGAAAAUGUAAUAAAAAUUUAUAUAAUAUAUAUAUAAAAUAUUAAAAAAUAUAAAGUAGUAUAGUGAUUUUUUUAUUCCAAAUAUAUUUUUUCACUGCAAAGCUGAUUGUUAUUUGUUGUUACAGUUGCUGUCGUUAUUUUUAUUCAAAACUUAAUCAGGUUGUUAAUUUUGGGGGAGGAAUUUGGGGUUUGGCAUAAGUAAUUAGUAAUUACAGCCAUAAGGAAGAAAGAACUAAUGUGACCUUGGUAUUCUUGCAGAACUCCAGGUCACUCCAGCAGGACUCAUCGACCACGACAUCAGGACUUCUAUUGGGGUCCAUGUACACGGCACCAAUCGAAGACGUGAACACCACCCGUCGAACCUUGGCCUCUGCCGCUGCCAUUAUCAAAUUCUUAGUCCCAUUCACGGCUGGCUCCACCAUUUGUUCCUUUCAAUUAAUAAAAAAUCAUCACUAUAUAUCAUAUCUCAUUAACACAAACACAAACACGAACAAUUUGCAACACACAUAUCGCGUAUCACAAUUUUUUCUCAGGUAUCAAUAACAAUCAAGUAUAUAUAUAAAAAUAUUACUUCUUAAAGAAAAAAAAAACAUUGUUUACAAAAAUAAUCAAAACCAAUAAUUUUGAGUUUGUAAAGAACUUCUAGUAUUUAGUUACUAAAUUUUUUUUUUUUAUCUUGAAGAGAUAUUGAUCUAAUUUAAAUUAUAAAUUAUAUAUUUAAUAAAUCUUUUACGUAUUAUCAAAAUUUUGACAUAAACAUAAAAAUCUUUUGAACUAAAAUUAAAUGAUCAUUCAAAUUUAUAUUGUUUUGUUGUAAUUAAUUAAGUUAUCAAAUAUUUAUUUUACCAAUUAAGUCUUUAUUAAAUGAAAUUCAUUUAACCGCAAAGACUAAUUUUCAUCCAAUCAAUAAUUUAAUUAAGUAAAAAUAAAUAUUUAAAGACUUAAUUAGAUAAAAAUAAAUAUUUGAGAUCUCAAUUUAUUAUAAUAAAAUAAUAAAGAUUUAGAUAAUUAUUAAUUUUUAUUUAAGUGUUUUUCUUAUAUUUAAGUCUAAUUUUUUAUUGAACUUUAUCCACCUUUCUAUCAAAUUUUAAAUUUAAAUUUUUAUUAAAUUAAUUUUAAUAAAAAUUUUCAUAAAUUUCAUCCAAAAGAAAGAAUUUUGUGUAAUUUUUUUUAUAAUACACGAAUAUCGUCAGAUUCUUCUAAGUUGUAUCCAUUGGAGGCUGGCCCACUAUGCCAUUGUUAAAGCUGCACUUUGACAACAGGACCCACCAUAUGACAAAAUUUGUUAGUUGGAAAGCAUUAUCCAAAAAACCUCAUGAAAAUACAUUUCAACUUGGUCUUAGGUGAGCUGUGUCCUUCAACUUUUUGGACAAAGAGGAAGUAAAGUUGAUUGAUCUUUUCUCUCCGAACUUUCUCUAGAACCAAAUGGGAUCAUCAGUAAAAGAAAAGCAAAUUAAUUAAAACAUUAACAACUUACAGGAUCAUCAGUCACAGGUGAAGCUGUGUGGAAAACUCCAUCACAACCAAUAAUGGCUUCUUUAAGAGACUCGUAAUCAAGAAGAUCAGCUCUGUAAAGAGUUAGUCUCUCAUUUGCUCCUUCAAGCUCUCUCAGAUGAGCAUUCUUGGGAUCAUCUAAAGAAAAACCCAACUUCCAGAACGUGUUCAUAAAACCAUUUAACAGAAAACAAAUACUAACAAGAAAUCUCUCCUUAGUCUUUACAUACAUAAAGAAAGAGAAACCAACCUGGGUUCCUUACUGUGCCUUUGACAGUGUAACCUUUUCAAGAAGAAGCUUGACCAUCCAGGAGGCGAUGAAGCCACCAGCGCCGGUGAUACAGACGGUUUGGCUACAAGGGGAAGAGCUGUCAACUAGCAUAUUUCGUUUAUGGGAAUUUGGAAUGUUGUUGGGUGAUGAGAUUCUAAUUUUUUUGUGAAAAUUUGUCAACGUAACCGUCUUUUUUUUUUUUUUUUUUUCUUUUGAUGCUGUGGUUAUUCUUGUUUGGGAUGGCACCGAGGUUUGUAUUUAUAGGGCAAAAAAUGACUACCUUACCUACCGCGCGGCUUGUGAAUAAAAUUAGAAGGGAAGGUACGCUAAAUAUCCUAAUUUUAAUACGACAUGACGUGAUAUACAAAUGUAAAAAAAAAAAAAAACAGUUUUAUAAUUUAACAAUUUUAAUAAAAAUUAAAAAUAUAUAUAUAUAUAUUUAUAUUUAAUUAUACAGAUAAAAAUUAUGAUAUGAUGAUUUUUAUAUUUUACAUAUAUUUAAUAUAAAACAAACACAAUACAAAUUAUCAUGUCAAUACAUUCCUAUGAACAUUUUUGUUUUUAUAAUUUCAUUUUUAAUUUGUACAAAAAAUUAAAAUUAAGAAGUGACUUAAUAGUCUUGCUUUAUUAUAUAUUUUGUCAUUAGCUUCUUAGGUGAUAUAUAGUAAGUUGUUUUUGGUGCCACUCUGCUUUGGUUUCACUUGUGAAUUAUAUUAUUAUUAUUAUUCAAAAUUUAGGUAAUAAGCUUUAUCUAGGCUUAACUAAACCUUUUCUUUAUAAUGAAGAAAAUAGUACAAGGGUAUUAUGGAGUAUAUUAUGGAGUGUAAUCCUUCCAAAAUUCAUCUCCUAAUUACAAUUUCCACAUUUCAUUCAUAUAUACUUAACACAUACUUAACAAGAUUAUGUUGAAUUUUGAACAAAUUUUUUAAAAAAAUUAGAUCAAUAUAUAUAAUAUAACCGUCCCGAUCUUGAACUUUGAUUCAAAUGAUCAUGUCUAAAUAUGAAAUAUAAAAUAUUUUUUUUAUUAAAUUUAUAUAUAAUUAUUAUUAAAAUUUUAAAUCGUGUAAUUUUCAUUUUUUUUCGUAUCAUAUAACCUUAUCAUAUUUAAAAUUAUUGAAUUUAAUCAUGUUUUCACUUACAAAAUAGGAUUUUUUUUGUACAAAAAAUUUAGGGGUAGAUAAAUUAUUCAAUCUCUUAGAUCAAGAUAAAAUAUAUCAUACCUAAUAACCUAAAACAAAUGGUUAUAAAUUGUGCAUCUGAGAUGAUCCCAACAAACAGUCAUUAAUAAUAUUCAUAUUCAAAAAUUUUUAUCUAAAAAAAUAAAUUUUAAUCAAUUGAACCAAUCACUUUUUAAUUACAAAAUAGGAGUUGCUAAUUGUAUGAGGUCCACACCUUAUUGUCGAUGACCUUUUCCCAAAUCCCAACCCUUUUCCUUUUUUUUUUUUUUAACGAUUUCCCUCUAUUUUUUUCAAUAUCAAAUACAUAUUAGCAUCCUUUCAACCUUUUAUUUUAUUUUUUAAAAUAAAUAGCUUUGAUAUAAUUUAGUAAAGAGACGAAAGAUUUGAACGUUGAAAGGUUUUUUUAAAAUUUAAAAUAAUCCAAUAAGGCAAAAAAGUAAAAAACUUAUGGAAAAGAAGAUAUAUUUCUAUUACCCGAAGUUGAUAAUUAUUUAUUGAAAGCCGAUCAAUGAAAAUAAUAUUAGGCUCUCAACAUUUGUUAGUCACAAAUUAAAAAGACGGGAAUUGUACUUCUUGACAAACAUAUAUAAGAUAAUGCUUAAUAAAUUCGUUUUUGAUAUAUUAUCAAUAUAAUUUUUUAAUUACACAAAAGGAUAUUAUCUUAAUUUAAUAAAGUAUUUAUUUUGUAAAUAUUAUAUUAAUUUAAUUUUUUGUUAAUCAAUUUAAAUAUUUUAUCGUAUUAAAAAAAUAUUAUCUCAAAUUUAAUAAAUACUUAAUUUUUAUUAUUUUAUAUUUAAAUUAAAUCUCUUUACUUAUAACUAAUAGAUUUUACAUUGAAGCUUAACAUACUGAAGCAAAUUUUAAUAUUUGAAAUGUUAAACAAUCCCAAUUAAUACUCCAAAGGCAUUUAAUUUAUAAUAAUUUUGGUUUUAUUUACACAUAAUUGACAAUAUCAUUACUUUUUUUCUCUCAACUUUUGGAUUUGGAUCAUUUAAUUUAAUAUAUUGUGUUAAAAAUUUAUUAAGAACAGUAUAAAUGGGUAGAGAAAGAUGAUGAUGUAACUGAUGAAGAAGUGGCCUGUAUCAGACAAAAAAAAGAAAAAAAAAACCAAUAGGUGCCAAGUAUCAAUCAUGAGAUGGCACUACACAACAAGAAUUGAACCAUAAACGUUUUAUUCAUUCAUAAUUCCUAACAAUGGCCCAACAUUUUGACUUUUUUUUUUUAAUCUUGGUUUUCAAUUCCUAAGUUAAGAAAGUCUUGAUUUUGCUUGGGCCUAUAACUAUACAAUGAAAGUAACCUACCAAGGAAAUAAUAAACUUGUCCUUUUAUUGUAGACACCAAUUUUGAUUAACUAAUUUUUUUAUAUAUUAAUAUUAAUAUUGAUAUUAUUAUUAAUCUUUAAAAAAAAGGAUAAAAUGUAAAAAAAAUCUUUGAUUUCAAUUUUGACAGCUGAAAUCAAACUGCCAGAGUGAUCCAUCUUUCUUUCUGAUACUGUCUAACUUGAUAACAUGAAAUUCGAUGACUAAAAGUCACUAGAUAGACACUCAAAUUUUUCACAAAAAAUUUGAAGAGAUAUGAGAUUUGAAAUCUCAAAAGCUCUAUAAAUAGGAGCUAAGUUCUGUAGGAAAAAGGACAGAGGGGAACAGAAUUAAAGAAAAAACCAACAAUCAUAAUCCUUUUUGACAGAGGAACCAACAGCAAAUAAAAAAAAAUUAAAAAAAAACACCGAGAAUGAAAUUCUUGAUCUAGAAAGUUUGAGAUUUUUUUUGAAAAAUUUGGGCUUGGAAAAGUAUUUAGAAAGUAAAAAGAAUCACUGGAGGAAUUUUUAGAAUAUUUUUAGGUCACAGAAAUUUGAAAAAAAUUAAAUUUUUUGACGACUGGUUGAAUUUUUCGACCACCAAAAUUUGGAGAAGAGGCCAGAAUUUGGGAUUUUUUUGAAUUUUCUUACGUAGUUGAAAUUUCCAACCACUGGUGCACCAUGGCAAUCAAUCAAAAACUGGGUAACUACGACGGCCGACAAGAAGGGUUGACUUUUUAGAAAGAAAGGCUCUGGGGUAGAGAGAGAAGGGAAAGAAAAAAAAAAUCGAAAACAGGCUUUUUAUAAGCCCUUCAAAAUGACGUUAUUUUAGGCGUCUGAAUCGAGCUUGACUCGCGCAGGAUUUGUGUGUUAACCCGCGAGCGACCCGACUCGUUUCGCAGGUUUUUCUUUUUCUUUUUAUUUUUCUAUUUUGAUUUUGAUUUUGAUUUAUUUUAUGUUGAUUUUUAUGUUAUUUUUUAUGAUAUUAUUGUUAUUAUUAUUAUUGUUAUUAUUAUUUAAAAAUAAAUAAAGUAAAAAAAAAACAAUACUAAAAUAAAAAUAUGAACCUACAAAAUAUGAUAUGCAAAAAAAAAUUAAUAAUAAUAUCUAUUUAAAGAAAAUAAAAUUUUAUUGCAAGCAAAAAGGUUAUUUAAAUUUCACUGAAGUAUUGAGAUAAUUUUAAAAAAUAAUUUUUGCUAAAAGAAUAAUAAAUUAUAAAAAAUGAUAAAUAAAAUAAAAGAAUAAAUUGUUUAAAUGAAUCUUUUAAAUGUAAUUGUUAAAGAAAGCUGAAGGAAUUAAGUUUUCUUUAAUUGUUGCAAGUAAAAAUAAAUUUUCAGAUUUCACUAUAGAGUUAGGAUAAUCUAAAAUUAUUUUUACUAAAAUAAAGAUUGAUUUAGACAAUGUAUAACAAUAAUAAAAGAUAAAAAUGAAAAAAUAAUAAUAAUUGAUAUUUUGAAUAUUUAAAAAAUAAAAAAUUAAAAGAGCUCGAUUUUCUUUAAUAUAAGUAAGAUAUUAAUAUUUAGAUUUCACCGGUGAGUUAGGAUAAUCUAAAUUUUUUUUAUAAUAAAAAAAUAAUAAUUUUUUUAAAAAUAAUCAUAAUAAAGAUUAAUUAAUUAAUUAAUUAAUUAAUUCCUUUAACUAUAAAAAAUGAUUUUUAUUUAGGAUCUUGUCAAAAAUUGAGAUAAUCCUAAAACUUGUUCAAAAUUUUAAGAUUUUACCGAAGAGACUGGAUAAUCUUAGAAUUUACCAAAGAGUCGGGAUGUUCCUAAAAUCCUUUUUAAAAUAAAUAAAUGAAGUAUUUUCUAAAUAGAUAUUUUCUAUAAAUUUUGCCAAAGCGUUGGAGAAUUUAUAGAAUACGAAAUAAUAAUAAUAAUGUUAAUUUCAUAGCAAAGAAAUAUUUUUAAAAUAAAUUUUAGAGAAUUAAAUUUAAAUAUAAAUGACCACAAUAUCAAAAUUAAAGGAUUACACAUGUUUAAUUGGUACCGUUCUUCGAAUGAGCGACGUGAGGGUACUAAUACCUUCCUUACUCGUAAUCGUAUUCCCAGAUCUAACCUUGGUUUCACGGAACUAAACUUCUUUUAAUAAAUCUUAACUAAUUUUGAGAUUUUUAUUAAAAGAUGAUUUUUUUGGGUGGCGAAUCACACCCUUUACAAAUAUUGGUGGCGAUUCCGAAAAUUUGCACCAAGUCUAGCGAUCGAGUUCCCUUGGACGAAAAAUCAUUAUGACAGCUUGGUAACUUCGCUGGGGACCCUUGAGAGUCAAGCAAAAAAUUAAACAUGCGUCAUCCAAAUUUUGAUUUCAUGGUCUUUUUGAUAUUUAAUUCUAAUUUCUUACCUCAUCUUAGAAUAUUAAAAUUUUUUUGUUUCAUUUAGUUUUGAUAUGUUAUUAUUUUAUAUUAUUACUAACUAUAUUAUUAAUAAUUGUUACAUUCUCUCACACACGUGCACAUUUGCAUUCAUGCACGAGCUCUAUACCCGAGCUCCCAAAUCUAUCUUUUUAUAAGGGGGAGUAGAGUACCUACGCUUUUGUGAGAUUAUAAUGCCUUCGCUUGGGCUAGCGAAAUACUUUUACUCAAGUUGAACCCUUUCUGUUGGCAGCCCGUAAUGGGUGAAGAUUAGGGCCUUACUAGUCUAGAGUGGACGACAGUAAGGAUUAAUUUGGGAAUCUUUUUAGCCUGUGUUAAUUACCAAACUAUGCAUAUAGUGAACCUUAAGAAACCAACCUUAGAUAGGGCUAUACCAUUUUUGUAGAUUAUACCCUAAAUUAGGACACAUGAAGGAAUAUUUAUUUUAAUAUGAUUACUAACCCUAUUUUGUUUUGCUUUCCUUUCAUUUCAUGAUCAUGCAUCAUCAUAAACACUUGCAUAUGGAAUGUGCUUAUCAAUAUGCCAAUAUCAGUAAGAAGAUUUUCAGUCUUGCUUUGGAAACACUAUUAUGAUGUUCUCAGCUUUGAAGCUCACCGUGUGUGAAGAGACCAAUAUGGUGAUAACUCUAUCAUUAGAAGCCUAAAGUAGAAUGGGAAAUUGUUUAAAAGAACUUGAACAAGAAAUUUUUUCUGAAGAAAUCAAAUUGAGACUUCAACAAAAUGACAUAUCUGAGUUGGUCGAGAUCUGGUGCUGUGUAACCACUUAUAGGAAAUGGCUUUUGAGGAAAAUUAUGGUCAUAUUGUUUCACUGUUUGAGGUGUCUACAAAAAAUCAGUUGAUAAAGGCUUUAAUUUAGUUUUGGGACCUUACAUACAGAUUUUCAUAUUUAACGAAAUAGAUAUGGCUCCAACGAUCGAAGAGUAUACUACAUUGUUAUGGUUGCAUAUUUCUAAUCCAAAUAAAAUCUAUUGAUGAGGUCAAAAACUUGGAUCUAGAAAGAAACUUCGCUUGUAUGAUGGAGGUUCUCACUCAAAAUGUGAACUCAUAUAUCCAAACAAAAGGCAAAAGUGAUUGCAUCUCAUGGGAAAUCUUACGUGAUUACAUCAUCAAACAUUUAAAGGAUGAACGAGGCAUGAGAAUGAUAGCUUUGGCAAUUUAUAGCUUGAUCAUUUUUUUCAAAGGUCCUGGGGCACAUUGAGGUAUCCGUGAUUGACUUUCUCGAGCAAGUGGACAAUAAAAUCAAUCAUGUUCUUUCUAUACUAGCAGAGACCUUUAGAUCAUUGAAUCAUUGUCAAAGAAAAGGAUAACGCUUCAUAGGGUGUGUACAAUUAUUCUACAUUUGGGCAAAAAGUCAUCUUCAACAUCUCGUGGGUAAAUUUCAUCCUACUUAUAGUAAUAAAAGUAGAUCAAUUGAAGAAUGCUGCAAUAUUGAAUGGUCAGAAUCAAAGGCUAAGGAAGAAUGAGUAUUGACUUUGCAAUAUCUCACUAGUGCUUAGGUUAUAUGUAGAGCUCCGUGGAUGCUAUGAGAAGCCAUGUUAUACAAGCAUGGUGACAAGCCAUGGGUUCCACUUUUAGGAUUGUGGGGAGGCAUAAGCUAUGCUCCGGCACUGGUUCAUCGAUAAUUAGGGUCAGAGCAAUGACUCAUGGGCUUCAAAAAUUAGAAUUCUCUUUUGAAGAAUCGAGAUUUUUGGGAAAGGUAAAAGAGAUUAUCAGAGGAUAGAAACAGACCUGAAAAGUAAAGCAUGAGGGAUAUAUAGACAAAACCAUACCUGAAUAUAUGAUAUGAAGAAGUUAAUGGGUCACAAACAAAGUUGGUCCCAAAGAAAAUAAACCAUGCUGCUAAGAAGACACAUAUUGUGAAAAGAUUCCUGAAGAUAUAAAGACUAUGAAGUGUAAAUUUGAAGAAGAAAAAAAAAUAUGGGAACUUGAAAAGAGGAGGCUUCAACAUGAGAUUAAUGAGUGAAAAGAUAAGACUGAUAAAAGUGUAGCAAAAUGCUGAAGGCUUGAAAGAGAAUAAGAAAAGAUUUCUGAAAGUUGGCAUAGGUCUGUCACCAUAAUGACCAUAGAGCUUGAAGAAUUCAGAAAGAACACAAAACAGCUUCAAUCCAAUUUGUUAUCUGAGGAAGAAAAGCGUAGUCAGUUUAUGGAAGAAAAAGAUAUACUACAAGUCUCACAGAUGACUUGAAACAGCAAAUGCAUUAUCAACGUGAAGCUAUUUAAGUUUUGAGAGAAGAACGAAAUCAAUUUGAACAUAAAGCACGGUAUUGGAAGGAAGAAUAUCAGUUGAUAGAAUUUUAAGCCACUCACUUAGUAGAACAUAAGAGAAAUCAGUUUUAAAGCAAGAGACAUAGCCCAAGAAGCUAAACAAGUAAAGAAAGAAGUUUACCCAGACAACAUAUCCAAUGCCUGACCAAUUUUCUAGAUAGUGUUUAUGAGCAGUAUAAGCACGUGAGGUGCUUCUUUAGAAAAUUUUAAUAUUGUAAUGAAAGAAGUAUUUAGUAAUGAUAAUGUGAAAUUAUGAUAUGGUGGUUCAAGUUCAGACUUAAAAUCUUUUACAAAUAUUGGAUAUAUAAUAAGCACAUCCUUUGUAUUCCUACAUUUAUGCAUUAUAUGUGUGUUUCAUUUAAAAAAUGCAUCAUGACUAAAAAAAAGAUACCUCAAAAUAACAAAUCUCAAAGAGCUUCCUUUAACUCGAUCAGGUGCAAAGAUAAUUAGGCCAUAAAAAAACAUGGAUGAGACCACUCAUCAUCAUUACAACAUUCACUCUCAAGUCAGAAUCAUGGAAAACGAGUAAGCAUCUAGAAUAGAAAGGAUAGAAAAAGCUUAAUUUGAUAUACAUGAGCAAAUGAUUCAGUCUCAACAAGAGUUGAUAGAACAAAUGACUAAGACUCAAGAAGAGACUCGAAAAGAGAUGGCUACAAUGAUGGACAUGAUAAAGAAAAUGACUAAAGGAAAAGGGGUAGCUGAAAAAGUGACCAUUGAGAAAGAGCCUCAAGCCUAAAAAAAUACCAGUAAUAAAGAAGAUCUAUUGUAUCCAUUAGGGUUCACUCCAUUCUAUGCUCAAACCUUUCAUCAAACGCAUCCACAAAUGACACAGCCUGAAAGGCAGCCACAUACUUAGUUUAAUUUAUGUCUCUACACAGUUCAACCACAUUGUUAAUGACAUGUUGGUUUAAAUAAUGGGGCAAGUCAUGUUGAGCCCAUUAUGAUCCUAAAUUUAGAUGACCCAAGAGAACGGGAAAAGUUAAAGAAAGGCACAACAGAAGUUAGAUCUCUUGGAAGAAAGGCUACGAGCUGUUGAAGGUGUAAAUAUUUUUGGCACAAUUGAUGCUAGUGAACUCAGUUUGGUUCCAGAUUUGGUAAUCCCAUCAGGCACAUAUCACUAUGUUUUGUAGAAAAAUGAUUGGACAUGCAAACAAUGACAAGUUGCUUAUCCAUUGUUUUCAAGAUAGUCUUACUAGAUCAGUUGCCAGAGGUAUAUCCAAUUAGAUAGGAGUCGUAUUUAUUUAUGAAAAGAUCUGGCCAAAGAAUUUAUUAUUCAAUACAAGCAUAUUAUAGACAUGGCUCUAGAUAGAUUAUUCUUGCAAAACAUGAAAAAGAAAGCUAAUAAAAAUUUUAAAGAAUAUGCCCAGAGAUGGUGAGAUGUUACCGCUCAGGUUCAACCUCCUCUCACCAAGAAAAAAUAAUUAUUCUGUUCAUCAAUACCCUUCGAGUGCCAUACUAUGACAAGCUCAUUGUUCAUGCUAAAGAAAACUUUGCUGAUAUGGUGAUUACGGAAGAGAUAAUAGAAAAUGCCAUUAAAAAUGAAAGGAUUGAUAGAGGUGAUGUUUUUGGAUCAAAGCAAGAAGGAUCGUCUAAGAAUAAAAACCAAAACCAAGACUUUUUAUCCCAUACCACUCAUAUCUUGUAUACCAAUCUUCUUACCUAACCAUUUCUAACAUUUUCCAAAACCCAUACCAUUACCAACCAGUGUAAACCCAAACACCUACCUUUCAAGCCAAUGUUCAUCCUCGAGCACCGUCACCAUGACCUUCCCCUCAGCUAAAUACCACAGACUAUAAUCGAAGGGAACCUCAAAAUAAUUGGGAGCAACAAUGAUUUGAUCCAAUUCCUAUGACAUACACGAAAUUAUUCCCUCAGUUAUUUUAGAAACACUUGAUGGGUCAACAACCUAAAGAGCCCUUGAAACUUCCAUAUCCAAAGUGGUAUGAUCCUGAAGCGUCCUAUGACUAUCAUUAUGAAAUUCAGGGCCUCUUUGAAAAAUUGUACAGCCUUCAAACGUAGGGUCCAAAGCCUUAUUGAUAAUGAAAUUUUAAAUUUCACAACCAAGGUCGAACCAAGUAUGGAGGUCAAUCCAUUACCUAAUCAUGGUGAAGGAUCAAUAAAUACUUUAAAUAGUGAGAUAACUUAGAAUAUUAAAAGAGAAGUAAGCGAGAUCACAACCCCUAUGGAUGAAAUAUUUUCUGCCUUUAUGAAAGCAAAUAUGAUUCAUCCAAUACCUGAAAACUCAGAUAAUGAAAAUUUCACAUAUAAUUCAAAUCACACUUAUGAAUUCCAUAUGGGGAUGGUUAGUCAUUCGCUUCAAGAUUGUGAAGCAUUUUGACAUGAGUUGUAGAGAAUGAUGGAUUCUUUUUUGGUUGAAUUUUAUGAAGAACGUGAAAAAAUUCAGUGAAUGUUGUGAUAGGAGACUCAUCCAAAAGUAGGCCUAACCGAAUGAAUUUUGAGCUUGUUACCAUCUUCUAUGAAAAGAAAUCGAGUGUUAAAGUUAAUAAGCCAGUUCAUAUGAAUUUUGAGCUUAUCACGAUCUUUUAUGAUGAAAAAAUGAGUGCUAAAAUUGGCAAACUAGUUUGUUCAACUAUGUCAAAGGUGACAAUUGAGGUUCUUGGCCCAUUCCUGUACAAAUCGGAUAAGGCAGUCCUUUGAAAAUAUGAUUGUAGUAUCAUAUCACAAGGUUUGGAUAAUAGUUCACUUUAAUAUGGCUCAUGUGAUGCAAGCACAACAAAUAUAACUAGCAUAAAAGGCAUAACUUGAAGUGGCAGUGUUAUACCCCAGAAAUACUUGAGAGAGCAUAAAAAAAAAGCAAAAAAAAGAAACAAGCAGAGAAAAAGAAGAUAAUCACCCAAUGAUUAAGAAACUCACAUAGCCCCAGUCCUAGAUCAAGAAUGUAAAAAUUCGGUUACAAAAAAAAAAGAUUGUGAGUUCUUGAAACUUAUUAAGCACAGUGAAUAUAGUGUGGUGGAGCAAUUAAAUCAUUUACCAGCUCAGAUUUUUAUGCUCUCGUUAUUGUUAAAUUCUGAGCCUCAUAGAAAUAAUUUCUUGUUCAAAGUACUCAACGAGGCUUAUGUAGCUCACAAUAUAUUUAUGGAGAAACUUGAUUGCAUAAUGAGAAAUAUCAUAGUAUGAAAUUUUAUAUCAUUUAGUAAUGAUGAAAUUUUACCUGCUGGUAGAGGUGAUGCUAAGGCCUUGCAUAUCUCUAUAAGAUAUAAGGAUUAUACACUAACAAAUGUGCUUAUUGAUAAUGGAUCUUCUUUGAAUGUUAUGUCUAUGACUACAUUAUCUAGAUUACCAGUUGAUAUAUCUUACAUGAAGAUAAAUCAUAUGAUAGUGAGGGCUUUUGAUGGAACUCAUUAUGAAGUAAUAGGCGAUAUAGAGCUACUAAUCCAAAUUGAACCAUGUACUUUUGAUAUAGUUUUUCAAGUCAUGGAUAUCGCUCCUUUUUAUAGCUAUUUUUUAAAAAGACCAUGGAUUCACAUAGCAGGAGCUGUUCAUUCUAUUCUGCAUUAAAAGGUGAAAUUCAUAAUUGAUGAAAAAAAGGUCAUUGUUGCUAGUGAAGAAGAUCUGUUGAUGACUAAACCCUCCACUACAUUAUAUGUUGAAGCAGGUGAGGAAGCCCUAGAAUGUUCUUUCAUAUCCUUUGAAUUCAUUAAUGCAACCUAUAUGGGUGAAGGCUCAAAAAUGCCUAUUCCAUAUCUAUCCAAAGUUUCCAAGAUGACCCUUAAAGAAGUGGUAGGGAAAGGACAACAGAUGUGGAUGACUUGAAAGGGAUGCAACGACCAUGGAUGAUGCAUAAGAAAGAUGAUUGGUUUAGGCUGGGGUAUAAGCCAACUCAAAAACAAAGAAUGAAGUUUAUAGAAGAGAAAAGAGAAAAAAGGUUGGCUCAUUUUCUGGGGUAAAAAGUAGAAACUAAAAGCCUAUAUUUUUUUUUCCUUUAUGAGACUUUCAUCUCGGCUGGUUAUAUCUAUCCAGAUGUAGCAGGAAACAUAGAGAAAGAGUUUACACCAUCACUGGAAAAUAUCUUUGUUGAAUUUUCAAUACAAAUGGUGGGUGAAGAAAAGAAGAACGAAGAUCCAAGCUGUUCAUGGGUUUAUCUUACUCCUCCUGGUACAGAACUGAAAAAUUGGCACGUUGAAGAGUUACCAAUUCUUAAAUUUUCUCCUAAGUAAUGUGUUGAACCUAAUCUAAAUGCUUUUGUUAAAAGCAUUAAAUGUCUUAUGUGUGUUUGUUUCUUCAUUUUCAGUUGAAUAUAUGACAAGCGUAGCACAUUUAUCAAUUUUUUUCACCUCUUUCAUUUCAAUUCCUUGGAUUACUAUAUAUCCAUCUACAUUUCAUCCAUUUUACUUAUUUUCAGGUAUCUAAAUAAUGAGUAUGAAGAUCAUCGUGACAAUAUUUCAAGAUUUGAUUUUGAAAAUUCUGUUUAUAUUGGUGAACUCGAUGAUGAAAAAAAAUAUGGAAGAUCAUGCAAUAUCCAUAAAAUUAUUGAGAUUAGUGGAACAAGAAGAAAAGUAAAUCAUGCCUCAUCAAAAGCCACUAAAGUUGUUAAUUUGAGGGAUGAAGAAACUAAAAAUGAGGUUAAGAUUGGUAUUUCAAUGUCAUCACCAAUAAAGCAAGAGUUGAUAAAGUUACUACACGAAUAUGUAGAUGCAUUUGCUUGGUCAUAUCAAGAUAUGUCAAGGCUGGAUACUAAAAUUAUAGUGCAUAAGCUACUUCUAAAGCUUAAGUGCAAACCAAUUAAAUAGAAGCUGAAAAGGAUGAAACCUAAAAUGUUGUUGAAAAUAAAAAAAAAAGUGAAAAAAUAAUUUGAUGCAGGAUUCUUAGAAGUGGCCAAAUAUUCUAAAUGGGUGGCGAAUAAAGUCCCAAAAGCCAAGAAAGAUGGCAAAGUGAGAAUAUGUGUUGAUUAUCGAGAUCUAAAUAGAGCAAGUCUAAAAGAUAAUUUUUCAUUACCUCACAUUGAUAUUCUAGUGAACAAUACCUCUAGGCACUCUCUGUUUUCAUUCAUGGAUGAUUUUUAGGCUAUAAUCAAAUUAAAAUGGCAUAAGAAGAUAUGAAAAAGACUACUUUUAUGAUAGUAUGGGGAACAUUUUCCUAUAAAGUCAUGCCUUUCAGUUUGAAAAAUGCUGGAGCAACUUAUCAAAGAGCUAUGGUAACUUUAUUCCACGAUAUGAUACAUAAAGAAAUAGAACUAUAUGCGGAUGACAUGAUUGCCAAAUCCUAUGAAGAAGAAAAUUAUGUAACUAAUCUGAGAAAGCUAUUUAAGAGAUUAAGAAAGUUUCAACUCAAGCUCAAUCCAGCUAAAUGCACUUUUGAUGCAACCUCAGGAAAAUUAUUGAGAUUUAUUAUCAAUAAAAGAGGAAUAAAUGUGGAUCCAAAGAAGAUACAUGCCAUCCAAGAGCUACCACCUCCACAUACGUAAAAAGAAGUAAGGAGAUUUUUAGGGAGAUUGAAUUAUAUUGCUUAUUUCAUUUCUCAACUUAUAGCUAAAUGUGAUCCUAUAUUUAAGAUUCUUUAAAAAACAGGAGUCAAGAGAAUAAGAUGAAGAUUGUUAAAUGGCAUUUGAAAAAGUUAAAUAAUACUUAGCAAACCCACUAGUAUUAAUGUCGUAUGUCCUUGGAAGACCUUUUAUUCUGUAUUUGAUGGUGCAUGAAAAAUCAAUGAGAUGUGUUUUGGGAUAACAUGAUGAAACAUGAAGGAAAUAACAAGUCAUUUACUAUUUGAGCAAAAAGUUUACUAAUUACAAGUCAAAGUAUUCACCAUUAAAAAGAUGUAUUGUGCACUAGCUUGGACGGCUCGUCGGUUCAGACAAUACAUGUUGUAUCAUACCACUUGGCUUAUUGUAAAAUUAGAUCCAAUCAGUACAUCUUUGAAAAGCCUUUAUUGUCGAGAAGAAUAACAAGAUGGCAAGUAUUACUUUUUGAAUAUGACAUUGUAUAUGUGUUCAAAAAGGCAAUCAAAAGAGGUGUUAUUACUAAAUUUCUUACAAAACAUGCUCGUGAAGAUUAUGUGCUUAUGACAUUUGAUUUUUCAAAUGAAGACUAAUGUCUGUACUGCAUAUAGAUAAAGAAGAGCAUAAUGAAGAUAUAUGGAAGAUGUGUUUUGAUGUUACAUCAAAUGCUUUGGGGCAUGGCAUAAGAGUAGUUUUGAUAUCUCUAGAAAAAGAUUACUACUAAAUCACUGCAAAACUAAAUUUUGACUACACCAAUAAUAUGGUAAAAUAUGAAGCAUGUGUCAGGGUCUUUAAGCUACUCUUGAAAGAAAAGCCCAUGCAUUAAAAGUUUAUGGAGACUCUAUUUUGGUCAUAUGCUAAUUGCGAGGAGAAUGGGAAACCGAAGACUCAAAGUUGAUUUUAUACCAAAAGUACAUAUUAGAAUUGAUCAAAAAAUUUGAGAAUAUUUAGUUUCAUGAUUUACCCCAAGAAGAGAGUCAGAUGACUGAUGCUUUGGCUACAUUGGCAGUAAUGUUCAAAUUAAAUGAAAAUGCUGAAAUUUAACCCAUUAAAUUGAGCUUGUGAGGGAAAUCAGCUCACUAUUCAAAUGUUAUAGAAGAAGUUGAUGGAAAACUAUGUUAUUUUGACAUAUUACAAUAUGUUAAGUAUCAGCAGUACCCAGAGCACAUAUCAAAGAAGGAUAAGAGAACUUUGAGAAGAUUGGUAAUAGGUUUCUUUCCAGAUGGAAAAAUUUUAUAUAAGAAAAGUUGAAACCAAAUAUUAUUGAGAUGUGUGAAUGCUGCUGAAGCUAAAAAUUACUAGAAGAAAUUCAUUGAGGUGUUUUUGGAACUCAAGCAAAUGGCCACAUGAUGACUAAGUAAAUAAUGAGAGCAAGAUACUAUUAGUUGACAAUGGAAAAAGAUUGCAUUGACUAUGGUAGAAAAUGCCAUAAAUGUCAAAUAUAUGCAGACAAGAUUCAAGUUCCUCUAACGUUUUUACAUGUUAUGUCAACACCUUGGCCUUUCUCUAUGUGGGGAAUAGAUGUGAUAAGGCCAAUUACACCAAAAGCCUUAAAUGGGCAUCAAUUCAUUUUAGUGAUGAUUAACUACUUCACAAAAUGGGUAGAGAUAGCUUCAUUUGCUAAUGUGACAAGAAUGGUGGUUUGUAAGUUCAUUAAGGAAUAGAUCAUAUAUUGAUAUGGCCUUCCAGAAAGGCUCAUUUCGAAUAAUGCUCUUAAUUUAAAUAAUAAAAUGAUGACCGAGGUCUAUGCUCAGUUUAAAAUCAAACACCAUAAAUCAAUGCCUUAUUGUCCAAAAAUGAAUGAGGCAAUCGAAGCGGCCAAUAAGAACAUAAAGAGAAUUGUUGAAAAGAUGACAAAUGUGUAUAAAGAUUGGCAUGAAAAGCUAUCAUUUGCAUUACAUGCUUAUCGAACUUUGAUUUGCACAUUUACAAGAGCUACACCAUUUUCAUUGGUAUAUGGGAUGAAGGCAGUGUUACCUAUUGAAGUUAAAAUUCAUUUCUUGCAUGUUCUUAUGAAAGUUAAGUUAGAAGAAGCUGAGUGGGUUCGCGCUCGAUAUGAACAAUUGAAUCUCAUUAAAGAAAAAAGAUUAGCUCUACUUUGCCAUGUCCAACUGUAUCAAAGAAGAAUAAUGCGAGCUCAUGAUAAAAAAAUUCACUCACAAUAAUUUCGAGAGAAAGAAUUAGUAUUGAAGAAGAUUAUUCCUAACCAAUCGGAUCCUUGAGAAAAAUGGACUCCUAAUUGGGAAGGCCCAUAUGUGGUGAAAAAAGCUUUUUCUGGUGAGGCACUAAUUUUGACAAUAAUGGAUGGAGAUGAUUUGCCAAAUCCAAUUAAUGUCGAUGCAGUAAAAAAAUAUUAUGCUUAAAAAAUAAAAAAAAUAAUUUAAAAAGAUAUCUAAGUUGAAAACCUGAAAUGGUAGCUUAGAUAAAAAUAAAAAAGGGAUAGUGAAUAGAGUGGGUCAAUUCUCAAUAUGUGCCAGAAGAUCUCAUUGGUUUUAGGCUAGCUUGGUCUGCUGUAUUUUUUAAAUUCAAGGGCACCAAUCAAGAGUUUUUAGAAAAGAAUCCAUGAUGAAUUAGUUCAUGAUGAUCUAAAUAUUUGUUAUGUGAUUACUUGUUGUCCUUGUUAUAUCCUUUUAGAUAAUGCAUGAAACACUUUUUUCUUUUACCAAAAUAAAAUACCUCUUUGUUUAUCUUCCUUUUGUCCCUCUUGUUAAAAAGAGAAAUGUGCAAUGUGUUAUAAUUGUCGUAAAAUUCAAAAGAUGAUGAAAGAAUAACAAUGACCAUAAAAGACACACAUUAUUUUGAAGGAGAUUUAAAAUGAUAACCCAAAUAAUAGGGAACAAAGGUUAAUGAGAAAGAUAGCUUAUAAGUCAUAAAAGUGGUCAACAUUGAAUAUAGGAUAUAAAAAGAAUUUUUUUUAUCUAAACUUAAUCAACUGCUGGAAUGCAUGGGAUUCAAGAGAAGAAGAAAAGAAACAAACCUUGAGAAAUUUUGAGGAUUAAAAAAAAAUGACGAUAAAAAAAAAAGAUGGUCUCUUCAUUUGCAUAAUGAGUGCAUUCGUAUCGUGAUCAUCAUUCAUUGCAUGACAUUGUAAAAAUAUGAAAAUGUUAUUCACAGAUGCAUGUGACAUAACAGAUGUAUGGGUCUAGGACAAUCCAAGACCAACAAAAAAAAAGUUAAAAGCAGGAAAGAUGUGAACCUUCUGUUCAAAGAAAUCUUUCAAAUAUCAUUGCUUCUCAACCUUUUGAAUUUAAAGUUCGUUGCCUCUGGUCAGAUGAGCCUUUUAACAUUUAAAAUUCGUUGCCUCUGGUCAAAGAAGCUUUUUAAUUUUAAGAGCCUAUGGUUAGAGGACUCUAUCAAAAUUAGGCAUGAUUUGUAAGACCAAAUGGCAUAAUUUAUAAGUCCUCUCAAAUUUUUAAUUUAAAGUUUGUUGCCUUUGGUUAAAGGAGCCAUUUAAAGUUCGUUGCCUCUGGUUAAAUGAGCCUUUUUAACAUUUAAAAUUUGUUGCCUCUAGUGAGAAGAGCUUUUUAACAUUUAAAGUUUGUUGCCUCUGGUGAGAGGAGCCUUUUAACAUUUAAAGUCUGUUGCCUCUGGUCAGAGGAGCUUUUUGAAUUUAAAGUUUCGUAGCCUCUGUUUAAAUGAGCCUUUCAAAUUUUCUUUAAAAAAAAACUUUAUGUUCAAUGUUUCAUUUUUUGUAUGUGUUUACUUGAAUAAAAUUAGUGUCUUUUUAUCUUUGCUUUAUUCUUGAUUCUCAUAAAUAAGCAAAAAGUGACAGCUGUAGAUACCAAUUUUGACUAACUAAUUUUUUUAUAUAUUAAUAUUAAUAUUAUUAUUAUUAACCUUUAAAAAAAGAAAAAAAGAAAAAAUAUAUUUGAUUUCAACUCUGGCAGUUGAAAUCAAGCUACUAGAGUGGUCCAUCUUCCACUUUGACACUGCCUAACUUGAUAGCAUCAAAUCCAGUGACCAAAAGUCACCAGAUGACACCUAAAUUUUUCACAAAAAAAUUUGAGGAGAUCUGGGAUUUGAAAUCCCAGAAGCUCUAUAAAUAGAGCUAAGUUUUGUAGAAAAAAAGGACAAAAGGAAACAAAAUCAAAGAAAAAACCAAUAAUCACAAUCUUUUUUUAUAAAGGAACCAAUAGCAAACAUACAAAAAAUUCAAAAAAAAAAAAACACCAAGAAUGAAAUUCUCGAUCUAGGAAGUUUGAGAUUUUUUUUGAAAAUUUUGAGCUUGAAAAAGUGUUUAGAAAGCAAAAAGGAUCACUAGGAGAAUUUUUAAAAAUUUUUGGAUUUUUUUUAGGUCACCAGAAUCUGGAAAAGUUUAAAUUUUUUGACAAUCGAUUGAAUUCUUUGGCCAUCGAAAUCUAGAAAAGAGGCCGGAAUCUAAGAUUUUUUUGAAUUUUUCUUAGUCAAUUAAAGUUUUCGACCACCGGUGCAUGACGACAACCGACCAAAAACUGGGUAACCAUGGCGGCCGGCGAUAAGGGUUGAGUUUUUAGAAAGAGAGGCUCUGUGGUAGAGAGAGAUGGGAAAGAAAAAAAUUAAAAAUAAAAAUAAAAAAUAAGCUUUUUAUAAGUCCUUCAAAAUGACGUCAUUUUGGAUGUAUGAACUGAGCCCGACCUGUGUAAGAUCCAAGCAUUAACUCGCGAGCUGACCCGAUCUAUUCAUAAGUUUUCCCUUUUCUUUUUCUUUUUAUUUUUCUGUUUUGAUUUUGAUUUAUUUUAUGCUGAUUUUUAUGUUAUUUUUUAUGAUAUUAUUAUUAUUAUUAUUAUUAUUAUUAUUAUUAUUAUUAUUGUUAUUAUUAAUUUUUUUAAAAACAAAUAAAUAAAGUGAAAAAAAAACAAUACUAAAAUAAAAUAUGGACCUACAAAAUAUGAUAUGCGAAAAAAAAAUUUAAUAAUAAUAUCUAUUUAAGGAAAAUAAAAUUUUAUUUCAAGCAAAAAGGUUAUUUAAAUUUCACCAAAAGUGUUGGGAUAAUUUUAAAAAAUAAUUUUUACUAAAAGAAUAAUAAAUUAUAAAAAAUGAUAAAUAAAAUAAAAGAAUAAAUUAUUUAAAUGAAUCUUUUAAAUGUAAUUGUUAAAGAAAGCCGAAAGAAUUAAGUUUUCUUUAAUUGUUGCAAGUAAAAAUAAUUUUUCGAAUUUCACCAUAGAGUUGGGAUAAUCCAAAAUUAUUUUUACUAAAAUAAAGAUUGAUUUAGAUAAUGUAAAACAAUAAUAAAAAAUAAUAAUGAAAAAAUAAUAAUAAUUGAUAUUUUGAAUAUUUAAAAAAAUAAAAAAUUAAAAGAUUUCGAUUUUUUUUAAUAUAAGCAAGAUAUUAGUAUUUAGAUUUCACCGGUGAGUUGGGAUAAUCUAAAUUUUUUUAUAAUAAAAAAAAUUAAAAAUAAAAAAUUUUAAAAUAAUCGUAAUAAAGAUUAAUUAAUUAAUUAAUUCCUUUAACUAUAAAAAAUAAUUUUUAUUUAGGAUAUUGUCCAAAAUUGAGAUAAUUCUAAAACUUGUUCAAAAUUUUAAGAUUUCAUUAAAGAGACGAGAUAAUCUUAAAAUUUAUUUAAUAAAUUUUUGGAACUCAUCAAAGAGUUGGGAUGUUCCUAAAAUCAUUUUUAAAACAAAUAAAUGAAGUGUUUUUUAAAUAGUAAUUUUUUAUAAAUUCCGUCAAAGCACUGAAGAAUUUAUAGAAUACGAAAUAAUAAUAAUAAUAAUAAUAAUGUUAAUUUCAUAACAAAGAAAUAUUUUUUAAAUAAAUUUAAAAAAUUAAAUUUAAAUAUAACAGAUUAUAUCAUCAAAAUUAAAGGAUUACACAUGUUUAAUUGGUAUCGUUCUCUGAACGGGAGAUGUGAGGGUACUAUUAUCUUCUUCACUUGUAACUUUACUCCCAAACUUAACUCUGACUUCACAGACCUAAAUUUUUUUUAAUAAAUUUUAAUUAAUUUUGAGAUUUUUAUUAAAAGAUGAUAUAUUUUGGGUGGCCAAUCACACCAUCUAAAAAGAUUGGUGGUGACUCUAAAAAUUUUUACUAAGUCUAAAGAUCGAGUCCCUCUAAAUGAAAAAUUGUUAUGACAUUUUUUUUUAUUAAUUACUUGACACCUUUUAAAAAAAAUGAGAAUGCACUUUUUUAUGUAAAUGGCAAAAAUAUUUCUCUUUUAAAUGAUAAAUUAUUAUAAUGCUUUUUAUUUCUUCAAUGAUAAAAAUAUCCCUCUUAUAAAUAUCAAAUCAUUAUAAUACCACUUAUAUUUAAAAUGAUGAAAUAUCUCUCUUAUAAAUGAUAAAUUAUUAUGAUACCCUUAUGUCAUAAUUAUAAAAAUAUUCUUCAUGUUAUAAUUGAUUAAAAUUACUAUAAUAUCCCUCCUAUUAUAAUUAUAAAAAUACCUCUACUAUCAUGAUUGAUCAAAAUUAUUAUAAUGCUCUAUUAUUUUAAUUACGAAAAUGCCUUUUAUCAAAAUUAAUCAAAAUAACUAUAAUGCUCCUUACCAUAAUUACAAAAAUGUCCAUAUGAUUAAAUCAAAAGAAGUUGACAUUUGACAUUUUUAUUUAAAAUUACUAUAAUACCUUUUAAAUUUAUGUAUGAAAUUUUAACAUAAUAAUAUAAAAUUGAUCACUUAUUAAAUUAUUAAAAUACCCUUAUCAUCAUUUCAUAAAAAUUUGAUGUGUGAUAUUUUAUUUGAAAAUUGCUAUAAUACUCUUAUUAAAUUACAUAAAUUAAAUUUUAACAUAAUAUAAAAUUAGUCACAUAUUAAAUUACUAAUCUCAUUGAGAUUAUUAAAAUGCCUUUAGGUUCUUUGAUUAAAAGUUGACACGUGUCUUAAAUGAUUAUAGUAUCCUUUUUAUUAUAAUUACAAAUCAUCCCUCUUACCAUAAAUUAGUUAAAAUUACAAUGAUACCCCUCUUAUCAUAAUUGACUAAAAUUAUUAUUAUAUCCUAUAUCAUAAUUACAAAAAUACUUUUAUGAUUUCUUUAUAAAAGUUGACAUAUGGCAUUCUUUUUUAAAAUUACUAUAAAACUGUUAUUAAAUUACUUAUUAAAAUAAUUAUAAAUAUAUUUAAAAUAAUAAAAAUCUGAUAAAUAAUAAUAAUAUUUUUUUAUAGAAAAAUAGUUCACCCUGACAUAUCAUAUGAUUUUAACCACAAAAGCAUAACUAAAUUCAUUAUUUACAUAUGAACUCUAUUACUCAUAUGGUUCAAUAAAAUGAGUUUAUGAGACGGAUCGAGUCUAAUUGACACCUUUAAAAAUAAGUUUGUGACUCUAUUUGGCUUGUUAAAUAGAACUCAUUUAGGCUUGUUACCACUAAAAUAUUUUAAAUUAUUUUUAUAUUAAUAUUUUUAUAUUAUAAAAUAUAUUUAAAUAUUAAAAUUAAGUAAAAAUAUUUUAUUAAUAUAAUAAUAUUUUGAGUUGAACUAAAUUAAACCAAGCUGAACUUAAUGCUUGAAAAAUCCUAUUCAACGCACGGUGCCAGUAGUAUCCAGUCACGAACUUGGCAAGCUACAUGACCAUCUAAAUUAUGGAAGAGUUUAUCUAUUGUAAAAGGAUAAAUUAGAUGUUUGGCUCUCAAAAUUUUAAUUUCGGUAGGAAGCAAAUUUAAACUUCUAAGCGGAGGUAUAAAUCAAAACUUUUCAAAAGUGCAAAUUUAAUAAGAAAUAUUUAAUGAAAGUUUUUUAGAAUUUCACUUUACUCAUCAAUAAUUUACAAAAUUAUUAGGAGAAUUAUAUAAUUUCACAUUAUUUUUUUAUUUUUCUAUUUUUUAUUGAAUUCAUUUAUUUUUUUAUUAUAAUUAAUAAAAACAUCACUUUAUUUUAUUUAUUUAUUCACCUAAAACUUGUGUUUUAAUUUAAUAAAGUUUGACUAUUUUAUUUUUAUUUAUUAAAAAUAUAUAAAAAUAUUUAAAUUUGCUAAAUUUUUUUAGCUUCCCUUUACGGUACUCUUAAAAUAGUUAUAUUCCAACAGUGCUUCUUGUAAAAGUUCUAACCAAGCCAAACAGACCUUUUAACUUUAAGGGUCAAUAAUUUAAAGUAAAAAAGAAGAGGAAUAACAUUUUGUUGUUUCCACAUAUAGCGGCAUGGUCAUAGCUAGUAAUUUUGUGUUCUCAUGUAUGUAAUAAUUUGAUUUGCAUAGUUGAAAACCCGAAAAGAUAGUUUGAAACAAGAUUGCAUUUUAAAUGAACCAAUGAGCACUGACAACCUUUGAGAAACUUAAGAAAAUUAACUAAGUUUGAAAUUUUAUUUUGAAAUUUGAGUCUUUUCUAAAAAUUUUGAGCCUAUUUAAGUUAGUAUUGGCAUUUACUAAAAUACCACAUAUUAAGAAUCUAAGGGAGUGCAAAAAAGAAUUAUACUUUAAACCAAAUCAUUUUUCAAUAAAUUUGAAUUAUCAUUUGUGAGUCUAGAUGAAAAAAUAUUGAUUUUCCCUUUCUCAUUCAGUAACUAAAUGUGUGAAACCAUUUCAUCCUUUUGGAAAAACCAAAAUGUGAUUCACCUAAUUCAUUCAAGUUAGUAAUCACAAGAUUUCAAGAAAUCUAAAUGUCACAUGUUUUUAAAGAAUUGAUUUAUUUUUGUUUUGGUCACAAAAAAUUGUUAUGUGAGGUGAUUUUUUUUUAUUAUUAUUUUGGGGUAAUUGGUGUUACCAUUCUUUUGGAAGUUUUUGAAACCAUGCAAAUUUCUAUUGUUACAUAUAUGAAUUUUCGUGGAUGGGAGAAAGAUGAUUUCCAAAUCAAUACAAGAAAACUGACCUUUUAAGGGCAACAAAAUGUUUUGUUUUGAUAAUUACAAAUUGAUAAUUGCCUCUGCAUAAUUGUUUGGGUCAUGCAUUUGCAUCAUUUAAGGAAUUUAUAAACUGCAUAAUUGUUUGGAUCAUUCAUUUACAUCAUUUGUGAAAUUUAAAAAUUGCAUCAUUGUUUGGACCAUGUCUGUGCAUCAUUUGGUGAAAAUUUAAAUCAUUGUUUUAAAUAUUGCAUUUGCAUCAUAGUUAGAACCAUGCAUUUGCAUCAUUUUGUGAGUAUUUAGAUCUUUGACGUUUACAAACAUUUACAUCAUUUAAUUAAAUUUUCUAAAGAUAUCAAGAAAGAUGAUGAAAAAAUGACAUUUGCAUCUAAUUUAUUUAGAUAUUUGCAUUUGCAUUUAUAUUGGUGAGAUAAGUAUUUGCAUUUGCAUCUUGGUAGGAUACAUUGGCAUUCAUAUCAUGACAUUUGCAUUUUUGCAAACUUUGAGGUGAAAAAAGAAAUAAAGAAAUUUGAUUUAAGCCUAGAUUAAAUUACGUAUGAUGAGAUUUAAAUCCAAAUUAGCUAGCACAUAAUGAGACUUAAGCCCAGAUUAGUUGGUACUAGUUGAAUUUUAAGCCCAAGGCACUUGUUGAGAAUUUAAGCCCAACUAUGUUACCACAUGAAAAGAAAAAUAUUGAUUUUUAAAGUUUUAAAACCUCUAUUGAAAAAGAGUUUUUCAAAAUAAGAAACAAUUCGUAAGACCUCUGCAUAUAAUCUCCAAAACGUCCAAGUAUGAUUUAUAAGACCUCAAAGUAUGAUCCUUAUAACCUCUUGGUACCUUUUCACUAAAACCUCUUGGUACCUUUUUAAAUUUAAUUUUUUAAAGUUUUAAAGCCUUUGGUUAUAAUAGCUUUUUGGUUAUGAAUUUUAAAAUUUUAUAGCAUUUAGUUAAACGAACUUUUUUAUUUUUUUUAAAAUUUCAUUGCCUUUGGUUAGAGGAGUUUUUUUUUUUUUUUUCAAAUUUUAAAGUUUCAUAGCCUCUAGUUAAAUAAGCUAUUUCAAUUUUUUAAAAGUUUCAAAAUUUCUAGUUAGAAGAGCAUUUUAAUUGCGAAUUUUAAGUUCCAUAGCCUCUGGUUAGAAAAGUUCUUUCAUUUUUUAAAAGUUUCAUUAUGUUUGGUUAAAGAAGUCUUUUUAAAAUUUUAAAGUUUCAAUACCUAUAGUUACAGGAGCUUUUUAAAUUUUUAAAAUUUCAAUGCCUUUGCUUAAAUGAGCUUUUUAAAAUUUUAAAGUUUUACAACCUCUAAUUAGAUAAGCUCUUUCAUUUUUUAAAAGGUUCAUUGCAUUUGGUUAGAGGAGCCUUUUUAAAAAUUUUAAAGUUUUAAUAUCUUUGGUUAGAGAAGUAUUUUAAAUUUUUAAAAUUUUAAUACCUCUUGUUAAAAGAGUCUUUUCAAAUUCUAAAGUUUCAAUACCUCAGGUGCCUUUUAAUUUUUUAAAGUUUUAAUACCUUUGGUUUGAAGAGUCUUUUAAAUUUUUAAAGUUUUAAUGACUUUGAUUAAAGAAGCUUUUUAAAUUUUUAAAGUUUCAAUACUUCUAGUUAGAAGAGCCUUUUAAAUUUUUAAUACCUCUGUUGAGGAUGAGCUUUUUGAACUUUUAAAAUUUCAACUUUUCUAUUGAGGAUGAGCUUUUAUUAUUUUCCUCUGAUAAUUUUUUAACACAAACAAAAUAGAUGUCUUUUGUUUUUAUACAAUUCAUAUUUCAUAAAAAAUGUGCAAAGAAGAGAAAUUGUAGACACUUAGUUUUGUUUGAGGUCUUUUCGAUAUUAUUGGGUCUCGAAUUGCAUUUUGAUAUUAGAUUUUCAAAACAAUUUUAAGCCCAAAUUUAAAGGUUGAAAAGUGUUUUUUAGUUUUAUUUAUGGUAAAUAAAUAACACAAAUUUUGAUUUUUUAAAAGAUUGUGAUUUUAUUUAGAUUUGAAAUUUAGAAAUUGAGUUUGAUUUUAAUAAGUCUUAGGAAUUAAGUUUCUACAAGAAGAAAUAAAAUUUGACAGGAUCUUGAUAGAUUCAAUUGGUAUUAAAAUUUUUUAAAUUGAAAAAGAAUUCAAUCCUUAUAUAAAAAGCUCAAUUUCAGGCUCAGAGAAUCAAGAAACAAUUAACAUAAUCAACAAUUAUCAAGCAACACAAAACUUUGAGUUUUGAAGGAGAAGUUCACAAGUAAAGGGAGAAGAAAAUCAAUAAGUAAUUGGAAGAGAGAAAAACAACAAAAAAAUGAAAGAAAAUGAAAAUUUUGAGAUUUUAUAGCUCAACUAAAUUGCUACCAUUUUGACCUUGAAGAAGAAAAGGAUCCAUAUGUUAUCCAAGCCCAACCCAACCUAAAUCGCAAGAUUUUUCUUUUUUUUUUUAUUUUAAUUUUUUAUGCUCUCUUGAUUUUAUAUGAUAAUUUGAGAAUAUGAAAUUUGGAAAUUGUAGAUAUUUUUGUACAAUAUAUAUGUAUGAUUGUUUUGUUUAAUUAUUUUGGAAUUAAUUUGAAAUUUAUAAUUUGUAAAUAAAUAAAAAUAACUAAAUUGAUUUCAUUGUCAUAAGAUAUUUAAUAAAUCUAACGACGGAACCUUUUUGAGUAAAUAAUAAGUUUAUCUUGAAUAUUGUUAAAGUGAGUUUUUUCUUUCUUUUUUUUUUUGUGAAAACCUAAAAUUUUUUUUAAUAUUUAAAUAUUGAAACAUUGAAAUUAAUAAAAACUAUUUUUGAUUAAGACUUAAUUAAGAUAACAUAAAACUAAUUUGGUACCAAUUUGUGAGUAUUGUAAAGAUGCUAAAACCUUUCAUACACAUAAUCGACUCUCGAACUCAAUUCUGUUGAUGUAAACUAAAUUUUAUUUUUUUUAGAGACCCUUAGUUUAAACUUAAGAUAACCAUAAAAAAGAUGAUUCACAUAGGUGACCAAUAAUAUUUAGAUAAAAAAAAUUGAUAACGAUUUCAUAUUUUUGUAUUUAAUAAGCAAAUUCUCGCACUUGAGCAUUAUGCCACCUUAUCAAAAAUUAUAUCUAUAGAACCUCCAAUUUGGAAAUCAAUAUUUUUUUUCUACAUAUGAAAGCUUAUUAUGUAUUUGAUUACCCUUUGGCCAAAAGAAAAAUAAAAUGUUUGAUACACAAUAGAAAUAUUCAUCAGUCAUCCACAAAGUUUAAUUAUGACAUAACUUCAAAUUAAAAAUUUUAAUAGUCUUAGGGACCACACUUAAAAUUAAUUUUAAUGUGUACAUGAAAUUGCUAUUUUCCUUCUUGUUUUUAAAUAAAAUGUGUCAAAAGUUAAUUUAGCCGCUACAACAAUACGAGAUAGCUUUUUCCUUAUUCUCAUAAAUUUUACCUCGUUUAUUUCAAAAUUUGGAUCGACAAAAACUUUUAGAGUAGACUUUUAAAUUCUAACCAAAUAUUUCGAGUAACAGAGCAUUAUAUUUUUAUCAAUAAUUAACCUAAUCUUGUUGGAAAUUAAUAGAUAUUAUUUUUACAUAUUAUUAGUCACAUUACUUGAUAUUGAGACAUUUGCCACCUCAAUUUUCUCUUCCCACUCCCGAGGUAGGUAUAAUCUUUGGGUAUAAGCUUUUCAUAAUGUUUCAAAUUUUCUUGAAAACUACCCUAGUUUUGGUAAAUGUAAGGGAAACUGGAAAUUAACUUGUUGCUUUAAUUUCAUCAACCAACCUUCACAUUGCCUACCAAACCAACAAAGUUAUUGUACAAUUUUGUUUUUUUGUAAGAUGAGGCAUUUACUAAUAUUUGAUUAUAGAUUUGAAUUUCGAACAGCCAAUUAUGUAUUAAUGAAUUUGUUAAUAUUUUAUUUGUUUAAUCUCUCUAGGUCAUUCUAUUUUGACAAAGGCAGUUAGUGGUUAAAGAGAUGGAUCAGUGGCACAAUAAAUCCCAAUUAAAAUAUAUGGUUGGACCGUUUCAAAAUUGCCAUGAAGAUAUGAAAUGGACUGUUUCAAAAUUCUGUCAAAUUUAGAGAAUAAAGUUUAUUUUUUUCAAGUUACAAUUACUGAAUGAUUAAUAUAUAAAUUAAAAUAUAACUAAAUAAUUAAAUUCAUACACAAUAGGACUUAAAUAAAAAAUCUCAAAAUUUAAGGAUUUCCUCUUUAUAAUUAAACCAAAGCCUCGUUCACACUUGGAGAACAAAGUUUAAAAUAUAGGAGAUUAUUAACUUCGCAUAAUUCAAAAUUUUGACCAAAAAAAUGCAAAAUUCCUGUUUACCUAAAAUUCAGUUUGUGAAAUAGAGAAGUGGUUUUGAAAAAUAGGUCAAAUGUGUAGCUAAGUCUCUUCAACUCACCUUAAAAAAAAAAAAAAACUUCCGUACAAAUGCUUUGACUCAGUUUGACGCUAUCCGGUGUUCGGGAAUUGAAAUUUUGAAAUGCAAAUGCUAGUAGGGACCUUUUCCACUUUCUCUAGUUAUAGUUUAGAGUUUUGCUCUCAUGAAUUUGAUUUUACGAACUUAUCAUAAAAUUUUGACGUGAUUUAGUUAUAAUCGAUUCAAACUUUGAAUUUGAUAUUUUAGGAUUAAAUGAUCAAGUUUGACAAAAUAUAAUAUUAAUAAAUAAUAUUUUAAUUAAAUUUUAAUUUAAAAACAUAUUUAAAUAUAAAAAUAUUUUAAUAUUUGAAAAAUAAUCCUAACUUAAAUGGACAUGCCGAGCUUACACUUAAGCUUUCUAGGCAUUAAUGGGCUCGAGAGUCCAAUCCUACUUGUGAACACUACUUGUAUAAAAAAAAAUUAACUAUAAAUAUUUAAUAAGUAAAUAAAAGGAAUAUUUUUAUAAAAUAUUUUGACUUUGAACUUUUUUUUAAUCAAAUAAAAAAGUAUAUUGAUAAAAUUAUAAUUGUUCAAAGAUGAGUGGUAUAUUUGAUCCACCAUCUUAAGUCAUCAAUUUGAACUUUAUCCUUACAUAGAUUUUGUUUUAAAUAUUUUAAUUAAAUAAAAUUUAAUUUUCAACACACAGCCAUGCCAUGUUGGAUUGUAAUGCUAGGUCUCGGAUUAAAUCCCAAGUGUGCUGCCUCAGUCUUGUGUCGGGUUCACCAUAAGACCUCGUGAUUCUCCUAUUGUCAACCUCGUUUAUUCCUUCCAUCAUCACAUCUAUGUGCUUUUUUGAGAAGCUUCUAAGUUGAAGAUCGGUCUGUGUUCCACGUCAUGGCUAAUCCCCCACUCUGUCCCAUUUAACUCACCCCAAUACAUGCAUUGAAAGCACAUGCAUCUUCUUUUUAUUCUUUUGAACUUCCUUUUAUGUAGGUUUGUUUCACUAAGGAAAACUACAUGGGAUUUCUCUUUCUUCAACAGCUGUUGAAGAGCUCGAACUGUAUGAGGGUUCCGAAGCCCCCGAUAAUUCCACACAAGGCACCUCAUUGGUAUUAAUGUCAUUGUUGCACUUUCAUCAAAUCUCCCUCUCUCGGGUUGACUUGUUCCCUCACUGUUUGUUUCAUUGUCAAUUGUAUCCAAUAUUUUAUCCAUCCCUCGCUUUCCCAGACUUGUCUGAAUAGCAAUCUCUUGUCUAGCUACACGUCUUGCUUUUUUCUUCCAUGUUGUUCCAGCAUUGUGACUCGUUGUCGACUCUUCCCGCCCCUCUUUAAUCGAGUUAAGCUUGCUACUGUUCCCCUCUUGGCUUCCAAGUGUAGUGGAGGUCCCCAGCAUUUUUGUCACAUGUGUGUUUAAGUGCAAUGUUUUUUUCAUGGCUAGCAAUGUUUCCAUACAUGGCCUUUGAUGGACAUGGGUCCCGCUCAUUUCUAGCUAUAUCCUCUCCUGCAAUACCACCUUUUUUAUGUAUCACGUGCAACCUGCUUCAAAUUUGAUUUCGAAAUUGUAUCUGCCACUGCCAAUCCGUCCCCUGGAUCAAGGGUUUACUCGUUCCUCCGCUGAUUUCAUUUUCCUGAUUUUUUGGCAGAUUUAUCUCCUCCAAUCGAUUAUCCUUCUCAAUCACAUCUUGGUGAGGCCGUACUCUGCUAUGCCCACCUCCAUGUAGAGUUUCCUGUUCCCCUCGAACACUUCCUUUGUUAUCUCCCAAUUUCCUCGAGAACAUGUUUCCAGUACCUGUCCAAUCUCUUCCCCAACCUAUUCGUGUGACAGUACUGAAAGAGCCAUACCCUUUUUUAACGGGGGACGCAUGCAGCCAACUACCAUAAAGAGAAUCAGAGUCUAUUCUGUUUUCUUUAUUCCCUGCUAAUCCACAUUCCAUACCUGUAUGGCCAAGAUUACCACAUUCAUAACAAAAGGUUGGCAGCCUUUCAUAUUUUACUACUCCUUUUAUCUUAUUCCCUCCUCCUUGAGUACCCAGUAGCACAAAUCUUCUCAAAGGGUUUCUGAUGUCUAAUUCCACUCGAAUCCUUACAAACAUCCCCCACUCCGAAUUGUUCCUAGUUGGAUCAAAACCUUCGUAGUUCCCUAUUUUUCUCCCAAUUAUCUCUCCAACACUGCUGUUCAUCCAUUUUAGGGGGAGAUCGUAUAUACUUACCCAAAACUGAGCUUUCGUAAAAUUAUAUUCCAAUGGUCUGAAAUCCCCAUUAUACUCAGUGAAGAUCAAAAGCUUUUUUUCAAAGGACCAAAGGGAGCCACCCAUAACCCUCAUUUUGUCUUUCUUCGAGCCGAACUUAAAAAUGAAAAUACUGGAAUCCAAUAUACUAACUUGCAAUUCGAUGGUAAUUCUCCAAAUGAACUUGAAAGUGCCGAUCAUGGCUUCUUUGUUGAAAGGGCGAUUUGUUAAUAGUUUACCCACUAACCAUUUCUCUCCCUCCUCUACAUUCACAGUAUCACACUCGGUUCUUAUCUCAACUCGAUCAUUCUCGUCCUCCGUUAGUUUCAGGUUGUUCCAAACCCCUUCCGAACCUUCUGCCAUCACACCUCAAAUGAUAUGUAGAUGACACUCUCGAAACUCGUAAGAAAACUCAGAAAACUCAACCAGAAACUAGAACUCCUCCCAUAGAGUCAAAACCUCCGAUAACAGUAGACACAAACAAUGGGAAAAUGUGGACUACUCUGUGGGCUUUUGAUACUCCAAGCAAGGUUAAGUCCCUAUUUUAGAGAAUUUAUCAUGGCUAUUUACCGGUUUUGGUAAAUUUUCAGAAGAGGAAAUAGCGGUGAACAGGAUGUGCUUCAUGUGUGGAGUAGCUGAUGAAACUGUGAUGCAUGCCAUUAGAAAAUGCCCAUGUGCGGAUCAAAUCUGGGAAGCUAUGAACGGUGACCAGCUAAGCCAGAGAGGAACCGAUGAUAAUGCAGAAUGGGUGAAAAAAAUUUGCCUGUCAAGUAACCAAGAAACCCUUCAUACCUGUAUGAUAAUCGCAUGGGUGGUACGGAAUGAACGUAAUAACGUGUUGCAUGGGGAUACAAAGAGGAGCCUGAAUGAGAUGGUGGGGUUCUCCCAGAGAUACAUAGACGAAACUAAAGCCACACAGGUCACAAACGAUGGGGUCCAAAGCAUACAGCAGCGUUGGCAACCUCCAGAGGAAGAUAUAGUCAUGGUCAACUUUGAUAGGGCAGUGCAGAAGCAAUCGCAGAGAGAUGGGGCCGGAAUAGUGAUCCGAGAUUCCAUAGGUGCAGUUCUAGCUGUAGCAACCAUCCCAAUAUCAGCUAUAGGGGGACCCUUUCAUGUUGAAGCUGAAGCAGCUUUACUAGCAUUGGAGUUAGCAGCAGAGCUGGGUUUCACAAGAAUAAUCCUUGAAGGUGACGCACUAAGGAUUAUCAAAUCCAUUGCUGGGAGAUAAGCUGAACUAUCACGAGUGGGGACUAUAACAUAGGAUGCCAAACAGAAAAUGAAGCAAUUCUGUAUCUGUCAUGUCCAACAUAGGCCAAGAUCAUGUAACAAGGUAGCCCACUUAUUGGCAAACAGGAGUUUAGAGGAUCCAGAUAGAAACAUUUGGAUAGAGGAAUAUCCCACUUCUAUCUCUAACGUUGUACUGGAAGAUUGCAUUUCAGUUUAUGAAUGAAUGAACGAACCCUUUCUUUUCAAAAAAUAAUAAUAAUAAUAAUAAUAAUAAUAAUAAUUUCAAUUUAAAUUUUAUAGUUAUAAUUAAAAACUUCAAGAGUUGAUAAUUUUCAUAAAAUCAAUUCCUUAGAAUCAAAGCUAUGCAAGCCAAGGGAAUAUUAGAUAGCCUACACGUAGCAUGUUUUUGAAGUUGAGGCGUGUUUGAUAUUCUUUAUUCAUCCAUGGCAUAGUGAAGGAGAUGGGAUGGUGAGUGGUGCGACCUUAUUUCCAAAUAUCUUCUUCAACGUAAAUCGAUCAUAUUUCUCUCUUCUUUUUUUUUUUUAUAUGUUUGCUCUCAUCUUAUCUACUUACUUCCACAAUCAUUUAGAUUCCUAUCCAAGAAAUAAAAACAUGCUUUAAAAUACAAUAAAGCAAAAGAAGAGCUUUAGUCUUUGCAUUUGAACCCUCAAUUUCACCAAAUUAAAACUACUACUAUUUUUUUCUUACUUGUAUUUAAAUGAAAUUAUCCAUAUUACUGUUGAAAAAAAGGUUAACUAUAAGUUUGGUCCUUAAACUUUAAAAUUUUUUGUCACAUUAAUAUCUUAAAAAUUUUUCUAUUACGUUAGUACUUAACUUUCAUAUUGUUAUCACGUUAGUAUUUUCAGACUAACGCUAUUAGUUAAUUUUAUUAAUAUGACAUCAAUAUUCAAUAAGAUAUUAACACGUGUAAAAAAUAGUUUAGUCAAUACAACAUCAUUAUUGUCAUGUUAGUAUUAAAAAAAAUUUUUAAAAAUUUUAAAAUUUUCUAAAUUUUUUUUAAUUUUUUAAAAAUUUUAAAAAUUUCCAAAAAUUUUAAAAACUUCAAAAAAUUUUUCAAAACUUCAAAAAAUUCAAAACAAUUAAAAAAUUUUUUUUUAAAAUUUUAAAUUAUUUUUAAAUUUUAUUAAUUUAUUAAAAAAUAUUUAAUUUCAAAAAAUUAACAAAUUUUUCAAAAAAUAUUAAAAUUUCUUUACAAAAUUCUAAAUUUAUUUAAAUUCUAAAAAGUUUUAAAAAACUUUGAAAAAAAAAUUCUAAAAAUUAUUUUUAAAUUUACAAAAAAAUAUUUUUAUUUCACAACAAAUUAUAAAAAAUACUAAAAAGUUUUUUAAAAAUAUUCUAAAUUUUUUUAAAUUUAUAAAAAUUAUAAAAUUAAAUAUUUUAUAAAUUAUAAAUUAUCAUAAUUUGAAAAUUUUUAGAAAUUCAGANNNNNNNNNNNNNNNNNNNNNNNNNNNNNNNNNNNNNNNNNNNNNNNNNNNNNNNNNNNNNNNNNNNNNNNNNNNNNNNNNNNNNNNNNNNNNNNNNNNNNNNNNNNNNNNNNNNNNNNNNNNNNNNNNNNNNNNNNNNNNNNNNNNNNNNNNNNNNNNNNNNNNNNNNNNNNNNNNNNNNNNNNNNNNNNNNNNNNNNNNNNNNNNNNNNNNNNNNNNNNNNNNNNNNNNNNNNNNNNNNNNNNNNNNNNNNNNNNNNNNNNNNNNNNNNNNNNNNNNNNNNNNNNNNNNNNNNNNNNNNNNNNNNNNNNNNNNNNNNNNNNNNNNNNNNNNNNNNNNNNNNNNNNNNNNNNNNNNNNNNNNNNNNNNNNNNNNNNNNNNNNNNNNNNNNNNNNNNNNNNNNNNNNNNNNNNNNNNNNNNNNNNNNNNNNNNNNNNNNNNNNNNNNNNNNNNNNNNNNNNNNNNNNNNNNNNNNNNNNNNNNNNNNNNNNNNNNNNNNNNNNNNNNNNNNNNNNNNNNNNNNNNNNNNNNNNNNNNNNNNNNNNNNNNNNNNNNNNNNNNNNNNNNNNNNNNNNNNNNNNNNNNNNNNNNNNNNNNNNNNNNNNNNNNNNNNNNNNNNNNNNNNNNNNNNNNNNNNNNNNNNNNNNNNNNNNNNNNNNNNNNNNNNNNNNNNNNNNNNNNNNNNNNNNNNNNNNNNNNNNNNNNNNNNNNNNNNNNNNNNNNNNNNNNNNNNNNNNNNNNNNNNNNNNNNNNNNNNNNNNNNNNNNNNNNNNNNNNNNNNNNNNNNNNNNNNNNNNNNNNNNNNNNNNNNNNNNNNNNNNNNNNNNNNNNNNNNNNNNNNNNNNNNNNNNNNNNNNNNNNNNNNNNNNNNNNNNNNNNNNNNNNNNNNNNNNNNNNNNNNNNNNNNNNNNNNNNNNNNNNNNNNNNNNNNNNNNNNNNNNNNNNNNNNNNNNNNNNNNNNNNNNNNNNNNNNNNNNNNNNNNNNNNNNNNNNNNNNNNNUGCUCUCAUCUUAUCUACUUACUUCCACAAUCAUUUAUAUUCCUAUCCAAGAAAUAAAAACAUGCUUUAAAAUACAAUAAAGCAAAGAAGAGCUUUAGUCUUUGCAUUUGAACCUCAAUUUCACCAAAUUAAAACUACUACUAUUUUUUCUUACUUUUAUUUAAAUGAAAUUAUCCAUAUUACUGUUAAAAAAAGGUUAAAUAUAUGUUUAGUCCUUAAACUUUAAAAAAUUUUUGUCACAUUAGUAUCUUAAAAAUUUUUCUCGAGGACUGGGGCCCACUCACCACCGUUAUGCUAUUCAUCUAGCGUAUGUCAUUUCCAUUAAUCCUUUGCUUUUUGCUUUGGCCUUCGUCCUCCGCGGGUUCUCCAGCAAAUACUUUCCCUAAGUUUUUGUUUGACCUACGUGAUUAAUUUGCAUUGCAUGGCUCGGGUUACGUGUAAGUUUUUUCCAGUUGGUUUUUUUCCCAUUCACGUUUUUCCUCCCAAUUUCCUUACUAGAUACCUCUUCGUUUUCUCCUUUUGGCCUCCGUUUUGGCCGAUAGGUCAGUACCUUUGGGAAGCUAGUCAUGUCCGAAUUGCCAUCCUCACCAGCUGUCAUGAAUACAUCUGCUUGCUUGUUAAGAUUUUGGCCCACCACAGGUUCCACAAUCAUAUCAUCUUUCUUAGUUUCAGAAGGCUUUGUAGCCUUUUGAAAGAAGGCAAUUAAUGUGGAAGGCCCACCGCGUGUCUCAUGCCUAUUUUAUUAAAUGACAGCAUCUCUCCCUCAUUAUCCACAUGGUUUUGCACGGUAUCCCUCCUAGACUUUUGCUCCUGUCAUGGGAUUCUUGAAACUCCUUACUAGACUUUUGCUCUUUCGUCACUUGUUCCCCCUUUGUUCUGCCAUCCUUCCACGUAAGCUUCACCUUUUUGAUUCCUUCCUUCAUUUGCCACCCUCGUCUGGCCAACACCCUUGAAACUAGCAGAGUCGCCCCUUGCAUGUCUCCUUUUAAUGGUGAAGGUUUAUCUCGCUCCCAUCCACAGCACAAGCUUCCAUUUCACAAGCAGCAUCAAUGUGUCUAAUGAUGCCGCAUUUGUAGCAAAAGUUGAGAAGUCUUUAGUACCCUAGCCUUCCUACUAUAUCUGGGCCAUUCAUUCCUUGGAGUAUUAUUGCUCUCCGAAAUGGUUUGCGAAUGUCAACGAUAACUCUGAACCUUAGAAAUCUAGUCCAUCCGCUUCUCACUAGUCCUUCAUCUACCUCAAGCAAUUCACUUACUUUCUCCCCUAUGCAUUUACCAAUAUCCUGGCAUAUCAUUCCUUAUGGGAGUCCAUAGACUCUUACCCAAAAACUGGCUCUGUGAAACCUGUAAUCAAUAGGCAGAGUCGCGUCUUAUUGUCCUCCAUCGUCAAAAUAUGUUUGUUGAACGUCUACGAUGCCCCACUCAGAAUUGUACUCUUAUCUCCCUUCAUUGCAAAUUUGAAAAGGAAUAGGUUCUCUUCUAACUGAGAUAUCUCCACUUCUUUCGCUGAUCUCCUUACAAUCUUCAAAGUACUAAUGAAGGCAUCCUUAUUGAAGGAUCUUGACGUUAAAAGCUUAACCACUAUCCAACUCUCCUCGUCUGUUUCUACACAUUCUAGUAAUCAUUCAUCUGGUCGAACCCUAUCUAGCUUCUCUUCUGUGAAUGAUAAGUUUUUCCACAAAUCCUCUAACUCAUCCGCCAUACUCAGUCCACCUGCCGUACACUAAAAGUACUCAUAAUCUAAUGAAAAACUAGCCCCCAAAGACUUCAGAGAAGUGCUUGGGAGAAAACUCUUGCAAAGACCAAAACUGGACUCCUCCCAAAUCAGCAGACUCCCAUGCUUUUCAUAAACUUGUUUUUCUGUUCUGUUGGUCUCUGUUUCAAUAUUUUGAUGAAAUUUGCACAUGAAAAGAGGAUCAUUCCAUUGUGGGGGUUACCUGUUCUUUUUGUUGCUUUAAUUUGUCCAAUCCCUUUAUAUCAAUAAAUUUUUUUUCCUAUGGAGAAUUUGCUCAAGAAUUUCUUUGAUCUCUCAUAUGUGUUUUUUUAAUUGUGAUAUUCUAAAAGUAGUAUUCCAUUAGAAUAUAUAGACACAUGCAUGUUAUUCACUACCUUGUUUAUUUGUAAAUACUAACAUUAGCAAAUUAUUUUUUAUUUUGCUACAGAUUUUUUAAUUUUUUUUUAAUUAAUUUUUAAUGUAAAUCUAACCAAUGAAAGUGUGUGAAAAAUAGAAUCUACAGUAUAAGAUGUUGAUCCUCAUAAAAUUUCAAAGACAAAAUAUGAAAGAAAACUUAGCCUAUAAUCCGAAUCUUAAUAAGAAAUUAAAAGUGGUAAAUUUUAAAAAAUACAUAGCAUAAUAUAUCUAUAAAAGAAUAAGGAAAUAUACCUAUUCAAUUUUCAACGUACAAUUUACAUAUGAGAAAUAUACAAAUUUAACUUAAAUCAGUUAUUAAUGGAAAAAAUCAAUACAUAAAAAAUUGUUGAAAACAACUUAAAAAUAGAAAAGUAAAGUUAGAUUUAAGAAGUGUGAAUUUACUUAUAUGAAAUCUUGAAAGAAAAUUAAAAAAAAAAAAAACAUAUAUAAAUUUCAGCUUAAGUCACCUGAUCAAGCAAAAAUGCAAUGACGAAACUGUUGAAUUCGAUUUAAAACACAGAAAAAAAAACAGUAAACUUAAAUUUCGAGGAUUAAGAAUUUACGCAUUAAUAUAUGAAACACAAGUUUCAGAAAUCAAAAUGACUAAAUUUAAAAAAUGUGCUAUGCUAUGGCAUGGGGGUCUAUGACUUUAUAGUUUUGUUUCUUUUUUCUUUCCCUAGUUCUAAGCAAAUUAACUUACUAGUUGAUCCUAAAACGUCCUUGUAUUUGAUCCAUUGUCACUGCCUUCACGUGUAAAAAUUGUUUCAGUUUUUCUGAGGCACUUUUAUUUCUUUGUAGUUAGGGAAAGAAAACCAGUAGUCCAAGGCUUACUUUUUCCAUGGUAUAUAAUAGGUCUAAACUCAAAGCACUCAAUUUGUACAUUUUGAUAUUUUCUCCUUGAGUUUCCACCUUGGAAUCUUGGAAAAGUUGUUGUUUCUUUCAAUGGUGCUUGAAAAUGCUUCUUCUCCAAGUUUGCUUCCUUUAAAAUUACUCUUUCCCAAUAGCCAGUAGGUGUUCAAAUAACAAGAAAAAUAUUUUUUUGCCUUUUUCUUUUUAGUAUUAUCUAAACAAACAAUUUGCGUACAUCAGUUCUAAGCUGAAAAGCCUUCAGAAAAGUGAGCUGAAGUUUUCUUUCAAUGAGUUACACAUUACUUUAGUCACUUGUGAACAUAUUUAAGAAAAUUACAUCAUAGGAAACAAUCAGAUUCAUUCAUUUUCCAAUCACUAGCACUUUUUUACGAGCAAAUAUUUGUAUAUCCGAAAGAAAGGCAAUACAAAAUGUAACAAAGUUACAACUGCAAACCAUCGCAACGUAUAGGUAUGGGAAUCUGAUCGUUUAGAUGAAACAUUUUAAAAUCAAAACAUAAAGUCACCACUAAUAAUUUUUUUAUAGGUGUGAUUAGCAAUUUAAAAGGUUUAUUUUUUUAAUAAAACCAAAAACAGAUUUAAGGAUUACCAAAAAGAUAAUUUUGGUUUUUGAAAUCAAAGAUGGGUUUAAGAGUCGGUUAUGUGUAAGGGAAGAUUAGCAUUCCUCAACACCUAUUUCAAAAACAAUACCAAUUAAUUGUAUGUUAUCUUUAAUUUUGAAAAAAAAUAAUCAUAACUUUAAUAUUUAAAGAUAAUCCCUCGAAUUUCAUUUACUUUCACAAAUUUCCUUUUUUUUUAUUUUUUUAUUUAAAAAAUGCAACUCUUUUUCCUUUUGGAUUAAAAUAGAAACCUUUGGUAUUGAAACAUUUACUUAACUCUCUUAUAUUUAGGCGAAAUCUUAAAAACAUCCAUUUAUUUUAGGGUUUCUGUAAUAAUCCAUCAAAACGAAGAUAAUAUUCUUCAUAAAUAUCAUAACGUAUAAGUUCGUGAACUUGAUCACUUCACAUGGAGUCGCUACCAAUUUUUUUUUUUUGUUUAAAUGAGAUUGGUCACCUAAUUUAAUUUUGUCUCAUUUUUUUAAAAAAAGUUUCAAACUUGACUUAAUAAUAUUUUUAAAAGGUAGAUUCUAGUAUACAAAACUAAGCUAGGUUUGGGAGUAUAGUUACGUAUAAAGAAUGUUAUAGCACCCUUAUAACACCCAACAAAAGAUGGUACUAGCUAUUUUUGUGUUAUCCAUUUAAACAUAAAAAAUUUACACAUGUUGGAAAUUAUUCUCAAUUGACUCUAACAUUUUGAUAAAAAAUUAAGAGAAUUCUCUUAUCUUAAGAGUAUACAAGAAAAUAGUUAUUUAUAUUGCAAAAGCUUUGUCGUUGGAUCAUUUAACACUUAUUUUAUUUUUUAUGAAAUCUUAAAAAGAAUUUAAUUUUAGGAAAAAAAUUCAUAUUUCAAUUUUUCUCAAAAAUUUGAAAUUAUUUUAAAAGGAAAAUUUAUAUUUUAAUUCUUUCUUAAAACCUUUAAAAUUGUUUUCAUUUAAGGAAAGAUUGAUAUUUCAAUUUUUGCCUUAAAUUUUGAAUUUAUUUCCUUUAAGGAAAGAUUGAUAUUUUAACUCUUUCUUCUAAUUUUGAAAUUAUUUGUUAUAAGAAAAUUUUGAUAUUUUAACUUUUUCCUCAAAUGUUUAAAAUUUUUUGGGUUAAAUAAUGGAGUAUGAAAUUGGCCCUCAAAGGUUUCAGUCAAGCCCUUGAUUAUGGCUUGGCCAAACCUUUUUUAGUCUUUAAACCCUUAGUGUUUGAUCCAUUUUUACUAUGUUGUUGCAUACAUGUUUAAUUUGCGGUAUGUUUGUAAAUAUGCUUAGGUCUUGGUGUCAAUAUUCAUCCAUAUUUCAUGCAAUAAAGGUUGCAUUUUUAUUAAUGACAUUUUAGUUAUUUUGUUACAUGUGUUCACUAUGCAAACCCUACACCCUAAACAAAACCUUUAACCAUAAACUAAACUUCAAACCCUAAACUCUUAACCUAAACCAAACCCUAAAACAUAAAAUAAACCUUAAACUUUAAACCCUAAGCCACAUCCUAAACCCUAAACCCUUAACCUUAAACUAGCCCUUAAACCAUACCCUAAACCCUUAACCUUAAACUAAACCUCAAACCUUAAACCUUAAAUCUUAAUCCAAACCCCAAACCCUAAACCAUAAGCCCAAACUUAAUUAAACCCUAAGAAUCCAAACUAAUCUCUAAACCUUAAAACCAACACUUGACCCACUUCAUGCAUCUGCAUCUCAUUUUACUAAUUUGUUACCUACACUCUUAAAUUGUUAUGCAUUUACUUUUUGUCAUUCAUUUUUCACUAUCACACAUGUAUUAUAUAUUGUUGUUCUCAUGCAUACCAGUUUAUGUUUUGUAAAUGAAGUUUUUCAAGCAAAGUGUUUUAAGAUAAAAUAAUAUCUUAAAUAAAAAUAACAUUUGAGAUCUGACCUAAAUAUAAAAGAACUCUCAAUAAUUAUCAUUUAUGCAAGGUAUUAUUUUGGUUUUUUUGGGAUAAUUUAAAUGAUCCUAAGUUAGAGACAUUUUUAAGCUUUAGCUAAAUAUAUGAGGGUGGAACAAAUAUCUCAAACUUAGGACUUUUUCAUCUGAUCAAAAAUAAAUUAUUUUUGCGUUAAAAAAAUUAAAAAUGAUUUACAUUCAGAAGGAAAAUUUUAAAAAGAAAAAAGAUUCAAUUUUUGGAAUUAACAAGUAAAAGUAAAGAAUUAACCUAUAAACAUUAAAAUAGGACCAUUUUUACUACAACUAAUUGGUAUCAUUUUCAAUGGGUGCUAUGGUGGUGCUAAUACUUCAUCAUGCUUAACUGAUUUUCAAACUCAAUUUCGAUUUCACAAAUUGUAAAUGUUUUUUUAAUAAAUUUUAAACUUAUUUUAAAUGUUUUACUAAAAUGAUAAAAUUUUUUGGUGGUCACUGAUACCUUAAAGAAGAAUUAGUGGCGAGUCCUUGAUUUUGAUUUCUUUUGAAAAUGUUUUUUACUUCAUUUUUUUCCAAGUCCAAUGGUCAGAUUCUCGAACCCGCACAUCGUGACUAUUUAGCUACUCUACAAGGGACACAUUUUUAGAUAGUUGAGCUAAAAAAUUGAUUGUAUGUUAUCAUAAAUUUUGAUUUAAUGGUUCUAGUUAGUGUUUAAUCUUAAUUGCUUAAUUUUAAUUUUUUUAAUUUUCCUAAAGAAAAAAAUUUUAAAAAAUAAUAAUAAAAAAAUGUCUUGAUUUCAAUUUUCUUAAUUCAAAAAAAGCAUAAUAUUUGAAAAAAAAUCAACAUUUCAUAUACUUUAAUUAUGUUAUUUAGUUUAAAUUGUUGUUAUUUACUUUAUUCUUAAUAAUUUUGGGUCAUUUAGAAUAGGGAUAUUUUUUAAAAAUGUGAAAGGUAUGUAUGUUCCUUCAUAGACACUCAUAUUUGCAUUACAUACACAAGCUUUAUCCUUAGGCUCUAACCCUAUUUAAGAGGAAGUAAAGUAACUAUGCUUUCAUGAAAUGAACACCUUUUCAAUGGCUAGUGAAACAUUUUCACUCAAAUUAAACUUUUUUUACUUGUAGCCAGUAAUGAGUGAAGAUCGGUGUGUCUCAUUAGUCUAUGGUAGAUGAUAAUGUGAAAAGCAAUUUGGAAACCUUUAGAUGUGUCAAUUCUCGACCUAACAUAAUGAACUUUAGGGAGCCAGCCUUAGUUAGAGCUAUGCCAUACCCUCCUUAUAGAAAUUACCCUAAGUAACAUGAAAGAACGCUUCUUACCUUUCUCAUUUAAUUUUUUGAUAAUGUGUUUUUGUUGCUUUUAAUAAAAAAAAGAAAAAGAAAAUUGUUAGGAAUAGCAAAAGAACAAUAAUAAAAAAAGGUAGAAAAUAAAAUAAAAACAAAAACAAAAAAAAAAGAAUAAAAAGCAAAGAAAAAAGAAUGGAAAGAAAAAAAAUGAAUUGCUUGAAGAAGUUAAUUUAUUUUUUUGCAUUGCAUUUACAUUUUAAGCUUUCCUUUUACUAAUUUUUCUUUUUUUUUUUGUGUUUUCUUUUGUUUUGUUUGUUACAUACAUCAUUCUUAACAUAAACCACAGAGGUAUUCAUCUUAGGUAAUUUAUCAGUAAAAGUUGUCAUGACAUUCCAAGAAUCAUAAGUGGGGUUAUUGAUUAAUAAGUCAUUUUAGGACAUUAAGGAGCAGUUAAAAAAUAGACAGCUAAUAAAAGGAGAUUGUCUGAUGAAUGGGUAUGCUGCAAGUCUUUCAAAGUUUGUUCACUUGGAUUUGAGGCAAAAAGAUAUGAUGGAUUUAGAAGACAUUUGAAGUCAGUGGGAAUAAGAAAGGAAGACAACCUUCAUAGCCAAAUACGAAGACAUUGCCUUGCUGGUAAUGGUAAAGCCUAAUGAUCAAUUACUAAAUGUUGUGGUUAGUUUUUAAAAUCUUGAAUCAUGAUGCUUCACAUUUAAUAAAGAGGACUUAAUGUCCACCAUAAAGGAGUAUUUUGCCUUACUAUGCCUAGAUUUACCCAAGCCCAAUAGAAUGUAUUGGAAAACAUAUAAAUUGUCAAGAUAGAAAAAAUUGGCAAAGUUAAUUAGGGUCAAUGUUCAGGUGGAUGACAUGAAAAGAAGGGCUAGCAAAGGAAUACUAUAAACAUUGUUACAAGAUGUAGGCUCCAAAAUCCUAGGAAAAAUUGGGACUAUGGACAUCUUUGCUUUCGUAGUUUAUGGUUUAAUGAUUUUCCUGAAGGUUCUAAGGUAUAUAGAGGUUUCAAUGAUCGAUUUUUUCAUACAAUUGAAGCAAAAAAUUAAUCAUUCAUUAAUGAUUUUGGCAAAAACCAUUCGAUCAUUGAAUCAUUGUUGAAGAAAAUGAAAAUGAAGGAUGAUUGGUUGUAUCUAGCUAUUAUAUAUGUAGAUCAAAGCCAUUUUUAAGGUACCAAUUGAACUUUCUUUUUGGUUUAGACAAGUCCUUUUGCACCUCUUAUUAAGCUCAAUGCAAAAGAGUUCCUUCGAAAGUUUUUUAAGGAAUAGUGGAUAGUGUUUCUUAAGAGCUUAGAAAGGGAUACGGUGACUUAGAAGGCACCUUGGAUGCGUCAUGUCUCAAUUAUGCAUAGUUGUGGGAAUCAUCCUUCGGUCCUGUUGGUUGGAAUCUGAGGAGCCACUAGUUAUGUGUCGUUGAUGGUUUAGAUGUAUAGUUUUAAAUAUUUUAUUAAAAGUAUAAAAUUUUUUAUGGCCAAUCACACCUUAUAAAAUGAUUAGUGGUGACUCUUCGGUUUUAACUUCUUUUGAAAGUUUUUUUUUUUCAUUUUUCCCCAGGUCUAGCAGUCAAAUUCCUGGACCCGCACGUCGUAACAAAUAGUAAUUGUAACAAUUUAAACUUUUUCACAAUGAAAUCAUUACUAUAACUAUGUUCUUGUGACACAAUUAUUUGUUACUAUAGAAUCAUCAUAUAUAAUACGCACAAAUUGGUAGCAAGUAAUUUUUUGGCAAGAAGUAAUGUUCUUGUGGCAAUAUAUAAAGUGGUCACUAUUAUGAGACAUUGUUAUGACAAAAAAUAGUUUGUCACAUAACACUUUACUUUUUGUUUCGAAAAUUUUUGUCAUUAUUAAACAUAACAUAUUACUGUCGAUCAUAUGUCAUCACAAUUACAAGUUUAUCAUUGUGACAAUUGUAAUCAUCACUAUUGGAAAAUUAUAAUGACUAGAAAUUGGUUUGUCACAAUUUAUAUUGACAAAUUUAAGAAAUUAAAUUUUUUGAUUGCAACAAAAAUUUGUAUAUUAUUAAAUUAUUUUUUAUUACAAUAACAAUUGUAAAAGGUUUUUAAAUAUAAAUAUAUUCAAACUACUAAUAGUGAAAAUUCAUCACUAAUGUUAGCAUAUUAAUAUAUGUUUUCAAAACAUAAAAUAAAUACGACGAAAACAAAUAUGAAAGAACCUAAAAUAAUUUGAUUAAAUUUAAUUUUUAUCAAUAUUUCCAAUCUCACCUUAGGUUGAAGUGUAGUAUACAUCAACUGAAGGUUCAAAAGAGUUGCUUGUUUCUUUUCCUGCUAUGAGAACUGAAUUUCAUUCAGAAAACAAAAAGAAGGGUAGAGCCAGGGGUUUGAAAAGAUGUGACUGGUAACAAAAAUAAACACUUAAACUUUCUUAUGCAUACCUUUUGAAUAAUAUUUUAGUAAAUUACUUGUUUCAAUGGGCUGGUGUUUGAUUUUUUAAAGAAUUUAAUAGGUUCAUUUUAAACUUUAAAAAGGGCAAACCAAAGCUAAAAGUUUAACUAAAAAAGAAAAAUCCUCAAACGUGAAUCUAUCCUCUUGAAUUGCCAUAUAAAAGUUAGGGUUAGAGGAGAAUUUUUAACUAGGCAGCAAUUCAAUAUUUACGUAUUGACACACAAUAAAUAAAAGACAAAGAAGCACAAUAUAAAAUAAAAUAAAAUAAAACCUUAGUCAUCAAAAUUUGUUGAAAAAUAAUUCUUUUUGUUUCUAUCUUAGCAAGGAAGUAAGGAUCUCACAUGUACUAUUGUUCAAAUCUUUAUUCUAAGGUAAUUUUUUUACUUAAAAUCUUGUCUUUAUAUGAUAAAAUAUUCAUACUUUAGUUUUACUUUGAUUUAGAUAGUGGAUUAUUUUUCUAGGGAAUUGUAGUUUAUGAUUUUUUUUAUAGUUUAAAAUUAUAAGUUUUUUACUCAUUAAAUAAUUGAAAUAAGGGUAGGUGUGUGUUCAUUCUGUUGCAAGGAUUUAGGAGGGCCAAAUCAGAAUUUGAAGUCUUUGUUUUAUGAUUAUGUUAUUUCAGUAUUUUGGAUGAUUUGUAUAGAAAUAGUUUUUAUUUGUUCUUUACUUGGUUUUAAAAAUAAUAAAUUUAUUUUUGAUACCCUUGUUUAUAUUAACUUUGUUUUUUGAUACCAUUGUUUAUUUAUUUAUCUCAAGUAAAUUAAAUUUAGAAUUGUUGAGGGAUAUUGUAGAACUUUUGAAUUUUAUGAAUUAUGAUUAUGAUUAUGAUUUGUAAUUGAAAUUUUAAUUAGUUUUCAAGAACAAAAUGGUUAAUAUUUUACGAUGCAAGUCUUUGGGAAAUUCAAAUUAUGCACAACAUGAAACUCUUCACAUUGUAAAUGAGUCUCAAGUUGCCCACAUAAGUAAUCAAUUGCCUAAUAAUCUACUUAAGAAUUCAAAUAUCAAGAUAAGUCUAGAAGGACAAGUUUUUGCUUCCAUAGGUUAUGUGACUUUGAAAAAUAUAUGUAGCAAUAUUUUAAUUAAGUUUAGUGAUAAAUAUGAUUGUAUAUAACGUAAUAUGUUUCUACUUGUAAAUUUUUUUAAUAGGUAAUGGAACUUCUAAUAAAAAAGGAAGGGGACCAAUGAAAAAUACAAAAUUGACCAAAAAGAAAGCCAAAGGUAAAAAACUUGCUAUCCAAUUUCCUCUUUCGUACUAUAAAGUAUGUGGUAAGGAUGCCAAUAUCUUUAAGGCAAAAGUAACAAAUUGUAUUCUGGAAAAUGUACCUCUUUAAGUCACUAAUUGAAAAAAAAUUCCUCAAAAUGAUAUUAAGAUAAUAUGGAUCUUUUUAAAGAUAUGUUCUUUUACAAAUACAAAAUUUAAUAUGAUAAACAGUUGGCUAGUUUUUGUGAACUUGUUUCCUUUAUAUAUAGAUAUUUUGCAUUUUAUGGUUCAUAUAGGUAAAUAAAUCCAAAUAAGCUCCAUAUAGUUUUUUAUUAUGUUUUCAAUACUAUAUUAUCCUAAAUUUUUUAUUUGAAUUGUAAAACAAGUUUACCUUUUUUGAUGAUACAUAUCCCUAUGAAAUGAAACAUAUGAAAUGAAACAAGUGCAAGCUCAAUAUAAGAAUUGCCAUUAUCAUUUCUACCAAAGCUAUCUCAAAAGCAAUAAUUGUCCAAUUGAUGUGGAUCCAAAUGAUUGGCAAUGGCUAAUCACUAAUAAAUGGACUACAAAUUUAAUAUAUUUUUUUAUUUAUGCUAUAAAAAUAUUUUUUUAUCAUAAUGUAGGCCCAAAGUGAAAGAAACACAGCUAACACUGCAUGAAAAUGGAGAUUUAGUGAUUACUUUUUAGCGACAUUUUUAAAUAAAUGCUACAAAGUUUCGUGUUUUUAUAAGGUUAACGGCAUUUUUUUAUAAAACACAACUAAAUUCUUAUAUAGCGGCAUUUGAAUUUCAAAACACCACUAAAAAUAAAAUUUUAUGGCAUUUGUUGACCUAAAAGCCGCUAUAUACUUUGAUUUUUAUAAAUUUGGUAGCAUUUACAUAAACGCAACCAAAAACAAAAUAUUUUUUGGGGUUAUUGAAGGCGUUUCUGCUAAAAAUACCUUGAAUAAUCUCAAAAAAAGGAGGGGAUUAUUGAAGGCAUUUUUCGUCAAAAACUCCUUGAAUAAUUCCCUUCAAUAAACACCAUGAAUAACUCCAUUCAACUUUUUGUAAUAGAUUAUUCAAGGUAUUUUCUAAAAAUACCUCAAAUAAUCCCAAAAAAAAAUUGAAAAGGAUUAUUGAAGGAGUUUUUGGCCAAAAACACCUUGAAUAAUCUCAUUCAAUUUUUUGAAAGGGAUUAUUCAAUGCGCUUUUGGCCAGAAAUACCUUGAAUAACUCCAUUCAAUUAUUUGUAAGAGAUUCUUAAAAACAUUUUCUAAAACGCCUUGAAUAAUCCCUAAAUAAAAUUAGAGAGGAUUAUUGAAGGUGGUUUUAGUAAAAACUACCUUGAAUAAUCCCUUUCAAUUUUUUUAAUUAAAGGAGAUUAUGCAAGGUAUUUUUGACCAAAAAUACCUUGAAUAAUCUAAAAAAAAAAAUAGAAGGGAUUAUUAUAGUCUUAUGAGGUAUCAUCCCAUAAAACCUUAUAACUCUCUUACACAUUUUUCUCAUAUCUAACCCUAUAGAGACUUCAUCUAUUUAUAAACAUACAAACUUGCCUAUUAAGAAUAAUUUUUCUUUAGAAUUCUUCUUAUGCAAGUCAAACUUACCUAUUUAAGAAUAUUUUUUUCUUACAAUUCUUCUUUUACCAGGCUUCUUUUUUAUCAAGCAAUAUCUAACUAAUCACAAACAAAUCUCUUAUGGGAUUUGAGUCAUUAUUCUUAACAAUCUUUACCUUGACUCAAAUUCCAUCAAAUUAUCUGUCUUUGUACUAAUAUAUGUGGCUCCACCUAUAAUAGAAGUCUCACAAUCUUCUCUUAUGUGUCUUCACGCUUCAUGCAAACUGAUACUCAAUCAUCAAAACUUGAACGUGAACUCUUUUCUUGAAACAAGGUCCUCUAGGCUUGCCUCUUUCCAUGACUCGAACCUUUAGUUCUAAUACCACUUGUUAGACUAAAAAGCCCUAAUCUAAUCACACCAGCGGAAGCGAAAUCAAUCAAUUAAUCACAUAAAAAUAAUAAUUUAACGUGGUUCGAUCCAAUCGACCUAUGUCCAUGGAUGAAAAACAAGAUCUAUUAGUUAUAGAGAAUUACAAACUUACAUCCAUAUUAAGCAUUCACAAUUAAUACUUUUAGACUCUCUCAAUCUCCUCUAAUUCUAUGGAGUAUUCUUAAUCUAAAUAAAUACAUACCCAUAUGCACCCAUGCACCAUACCUAUGUGAACCCUUUCAGUUUUCUCUAGUCCACUCACAAACAUUCACACCACCAUACCUAUGUAAACUAUCUCAUUCUUUUCUAGUCCACUCAAACAUAUACACCUAUAAGGACGUUAAAUCCCUAAUAGUCCUAUAGGGUGUCUAUCUCAUAAAAUCUUACAACUUUCUUAAAUCUUUUUCUCAUACCUAACUCUCUAGAGACUUCAUCUAUUUAUAAGCAUACAAACUUGCUUAUUAAAAAUUUUUUUCUUUUAGAAUUUUUCUUUUGUAAGUCAAACUUACCAAUUAAGAAUCUCUUUUCUCUUAGAAGUCUUCUUCUGUAACUCUUUUUUUUAUCAAGUAAUAUCUAACAAAUCUCAAAUAAAUCUUUUAUGGGAUUUAAGUUACUAUUCCUAAUAGAAAAAAAAAAACUCAUCUAAAAAUGUCUGAGGAAUGGUUAAAAUAUGGUGAAUUGACAAAAAUUUAAGUAAUGGAUGACAGAUUUGGGUUCAGAGUGAACAAGUAGAUUAAAGAAAAAAUAAAUUAAAAGCAAAAGUAACAUGUUGCUUAUACUUUUAUUUUAUGAAAAAUGUCAUAUGAUAGAUAUUGAUUAAUAUCUAUAAUUAUUGUCUCAUACAAUUGGGCCCAGCAAUAACUUUUAUUUGAGCAGCCUUGCUUUAACAAAUAAAAGUAACUAUGCUUUCCAAAGAAUAUAAUUAAGACAGCUAGAUGAUGCCCAAUGUCAUGUUCCUGUGGGAGUGGUGAAUUAAUCUAAUAUUGUAUAUUAAAGUUUUGCUAGGUAUACAAGAGUCUAUUUAGAAGGAUUAUGACUUAAUUUUUGUGAGAAUGAAAAUAAUAAUGAAAGUGAAAUUAGUUACUAUAAUAGAUUAAAAUUAAUAGUAGAAUAUGUUUGGAUGUAAAAGUGAUGAUGAUAGUAGAAUGAAUUAUAAUAAAAAGGAAAAUGAAUAUUAAAAUUAUUAAAUUAAAAUUUUAUAUAAUAAAAAUUUUAAUUAUUUAAUAUUUAUAAAAUUAAUAAAUUAUUAUAAGUUAUUAAAUUAUUUCUAUGUUAAACAUUUUUGUUAAUAAAUAAUUAAGAAUUAAUAAAUUUAUCUUGUAAAAAAAUCGUUUGAAAACUUUUAAAUAAAAAAAUAAAAAAUAAAAAAUGGACAAGUGUUGAAAAAUAAAACAAAGGGAGGAUUAUUAAAAGAGGAAGAACUUUGUGAUUGAGCUUCACAAAUUUUCACUGGACCCAUAAGGGUCUCAGUGUGUAAUCAGUGUUACGGAACGGUGGAACGCUUAAAUCAAAUCAAAUCAAAUCUCAAUUAUUCAGGACUGUGAAAACUUCCUCUGCUCUGCUACCAUGACCCUAGACAUGCCAUUCACCCCAAAAAGUCCAUUUCUGCUCCAUGGAGUAAAAAUUGCUGUUAGACAAACUUUUGCUAUUUUGAAGAUUUUCAUCUAUAACAAAAAUUGAUAAGUUAAUUCACAGGUAGUCAAAAAAUUGAAAAAUAGCUGGAAACCAUAUAAAAAUAACUGAAACUUCGAAACAUCAUAUAUUUUACUAAUAUAGUGAAUAAAAGAAAGAAACAUUAAUUGGCUUCAUAUAUUUCAUUCAAUUACUUCAUCAUUUAGAAGAUCGAAAUGUUCAAGAGAUUAUAUAUAUAAUAAUCUUUGACAUUCUUUCUUGAUUAGUCAUCUCCUUGAAUAUAUAUUAUUACUACUGAGUACUGACAUAGUACUGCUAGCAUUCCAGGGGGGCAUGUCCAGUACCCUUGCCAAUGGUGGCUAGCUAGGUGUAUAUACUAUAAAUACUCUCCGAAAAAGCUAAGAGCGAAUCCGAAGUGGAUCGUCUUGCUGUGCUGGUAUAGGUAGGUGACCUUUCUCUUGCAAGCUCUUGACUGUUUCAUAUAGGCACUGCUUCACAGGUGUGAACUCCAAACCCAAGUCCUUGAGCUUUUGGUUUGAGAACUUGUAGGGUUUUGCUCUUGGGUUCCUCUCAUCUGAGCACCUGCAUUAUCAAAUACCAGGAUUACAGCAUCUUAUUUUCCAUAAUUGGAUGAAAAUGUAGAUUGAAAACAACAAGGUACUUUCAUGAAAAAUGCACAUCAAUAUGUGGAAGAAAUGUGAAUUAUUUAAUUUUUUUGCUUUUUUUUCUGCCACUUCCCAUUGUUAGGAUUAUUUGGUUUGAUUUGUUAGGAGUCACGUGUUUUUCAGCUACCCUUCCAUUUAUCCCAGUUCAAAGACAAAAGCCUAGAUCUAUUUAAUUAUAGAAUAAGUAUGAAAUUCUCAAACACCAAUCCUCAUAGGAGGGGUAGGAGGGACCCAUUUUUGUCCUAGCUGCAGCCUCAGAAUUCAGAAAGCUCCAUGUUUGUAAUUCAGCUGGUGGGUAGAAUAGAAUAUCCAUUUAACCCAACUCUUUUGAUAAUUUGACAGACAUGGGGGUAGGUGAAAACCCUUCUCCACCACUAUUUUUAUUAACUUCCAAGACAUAAUCGCUUUCACCAAAAAUCCACUUCUUAUCCGAGUAGUGGGUAAAGAUUAUGCCAUUUGUCAAAGCUGCUGCAACCGACUGCACAAGAAACUGAAAAUUUUCCAUUACAUUUUCAUGGACUAGAUUAUUAAUUGAUCUUUAUAGAAGAGGGACAUCAGUUUCUUCCUGUCAUUAUCAUCGAACAGCAAGGUUGACGUUUACAAAUCAACAAGUUAUGGAUUAUCUGCAAAGCCCUCGCUUUGAAGUGUGGCUGAGGGUAAGGUCUUAGUUUUAUUUCCAAUGUCAGGUAAAGAUUACCAAGCAAAAAUACGUCUUGGUUUUCAAACAAUUGACAAUUCAAAUUAGCCAAUUAAUUAAUACAAUGAAUGAGACAUCCAUUCUCAUUUUCCAAAACGUGUCCCAUCUUUAAAAUUAAACUUUCUAACCAGCACGGCAAAAUUUUAUUUCCUAAUAUUUUUAUACAAAAAGCUGUGAUCUGAUAAUAAAAAAAGAUUGUAAGUGUUGAAAUUUGAUAUUUAGAUUUGUUAGAUACAAUUUUUUAAAAUUAACAGCAAGAAUCAACUUAUGUAAAUUCUGAAUUCAAAUACUUGACAUUUUAGUAGGUCAAAGAGUGUGGAAAUAGACGAGUUCUUCUCCACCUAUAUAAUUCUUGAUGGAAAGUAAUGGAAUUGGGUGCAAACUAACAGAAAAAUAACAGCUAGCUGGACUGCAUUUUGAUGUUGUUUCACUUUCUUAAUUACUUCAACUCAAAUAUUAUCCUGUUCUUCCACUAAUAUUUUAUGCCAUGUAAAUCUCAAGGUGGACCCUAUUAUUUCAUUGUUUUAUGAACAAAAUCUUUGAUAAAUCCUGAUUAUGCCUUAUUUUUCUUAUGUUUCAAUGACUAGAAUGAUAAAAUAAUGUAUAAAACCUUUUUAAGUUUGUUAUGAUGUUAACCCAAUUUGCCAAUUGAAGAGAAAAUUGAAAGAGCUGAGUUAAGUGUUGACCAUUUUGUGAAGUUCAUAUGGUAAAAACAAUGUAGAUAAGUAAUUAGCAGUAAAAAACUUACCUGGUAGGGAUGGGAUACUCAGGCAAGAACUUGGCUAGGAUCUCUACCACCUCUCCACGGUGGAGAACGCUCUCGGCGCAGAGGUAUCGGCCUGAGGCAGAGGGAUUCUCAAAGACAAGAAUGUGCGCUAAGGCAACAUCUCUAACAUGAACAUAGGCUUGAACUGAAUUGGCAUAGGUCUUU